Molecule: long non-coding RNA, 76950 nt
Filed under: Vitis vinifera (wine grape)
Lineage: Eukaryota; Viridiplantae; Streptophyta; Magnoliopsida; Vitales; Vitaceae
Description: long non-coding RNA (VVIN_LNC006035)
Source: RNAcentral
UUUUUUUAUUUUGUAAAAUAUUUUUGGAAAUAUUUUUUACUUAGAUUUAUGUAGAUAUUUGGGUUUAAAUAUUGAUCUAUUCACUGUCAAAUUGGAUAGGAAUAAACUUUAAGGUCAACCCUUUGACCUGAUAUCACUAGUCGGAUUCUGAGUUGCCUUGGGUGUGACUAUAAUGGAUUUUCUUCUCCAUUGCCUAAACCCUGUCAUGGUUGGAGCGUUUGCAAUACUCGUCCUCUCAUACCACCUGUUAUUAUGGAGGUCUGGAGCUGGUAAGAGCAGAAUGGCACCUGAAGCUUCUGGUGCAUGGCCCAUAAUAGGUCACCUGCACCUGUUAGGUGGAUCUAAGAAUUUGCCUCACUUACUUUUUGGAACCAUGGCCGACAAGUAUGGACCAGUAUUCAGCAUCCGGCUGGGAUUAAAAAGAGCUGUGGUUGUGAGUAGUUGGGAAAUGGCCAAAGAAUGCUUCACCACCCAUGACCUGGCUCUGGCCUCCCGUCCUCAGCUUGUGGCCGCCAAAUAUUUGGGAUAUAACUAUUCCAUGUUUGCUUUCUCUCCUCAUGGUGCAUACUGGCGUGAAGUGCGUAAGAUAGCCACUCUAGAGCUACUCUCGAACCGCCGGCUAGAGUUGCUGAAGAAUGUCCGAAUCUCAGAGGUGGAGACAUGCAUGAAGGAACUAUACAAGCUUUGGGCAGAGACGAAAAGCGAAGCAGGCGUUGUUUUGGUGGACAUGAAGCAAUGGUUUGGGCACUUGUCUCUGAACGUGAUUCUUAAGAUGGUUGUUGGAAAACGAUAUUUCGGUUAUGCAGCCGAAAGUAAAGAGAAAGGGGCCCAGCAGUGCCAGAAGGCGAUUAGGGAAUUCUUUCGUUUGAUGGGACUCUUUGUGGUGUCGGAUGCCCUUCCUUUUCUUGGAUGGCUUGACGUGGGUGGACAUGUGAAAGCCAUGAAGAAGACUGCAAAAGAAUUGGACGGUAUUGCUCAGGAAUGGUUAGAGGAACACCGACGGCGAAAAGAUUCGGGUGAAGCUGAUGGUGACCAGGACUUCAUGGACGUGAUGCUGUCCAUUCUGGGUGGUAGAGACACUACUGAUUAUGAUGCUGAUACCAUCAACAAAGCUACAGCCCUGGUAUGCACAUUAUUCCUUUAGCAUCUUUAUAUGGUAGUAAAAAAUGAGACAUAAUUUCACGCUUUAUCAUCUUUAGUCCAGACUCAAGAGUACUUGGGCCUGGGUUGGAAGAACUUCUUGUUUUUGCUUAGUUUCAAGUUGAAACUAAUCAAAAGCAGCGAUUUUUAAAAGGUAAUUAUAAUAGUGGUGUUAUAAAAGUUCAAACAUAAAAUAACUUUUUGCAUAAAUCAAAAUAGAGUUUAUAUAUAUAUAAUAUUUUUCUGAUCUUCAUAUUAAUUUUUUUAAGUCAUAACUUUUUUGAACAAAAUUAGUCAAACCAUAGAACUCUUGAACUUACAGAAAAGGCCUUUCGAUUUCUUAGAAAUAGAUACAUGUAGAGUUUUGUUAUAUGUUUGUUUUUGUCAAAAGAGUAACAUGAGCAGCUUAGACAAGCAAUUAGAAUGAAAUACAACUGGGCUGAGAAGCUGAUCGAGUACAACUAGAAUUAUGUACAACCUCUUGCUAGGAUAACUGGGUUGGACUAGUAAUGAUAGAGUUCUCCGUUGGAGUUAGGUGGCCCAAAAAGAUUGUGCUGUUUGAAUAGCUGGUCCUCUAAUUUAGGAAGAGGCAACCGAAUUUGCACCGCUGGGUGGCUGGGCCCAUAGAAAAUAUUAUUGUCAGAAGAUUAUGAAAGUAUGUUCCUUAGUCCGCAUGCUUUGAGGCCUCUUUGAGUGGGCUUCUAGGGCUGGUUAGACAAUUGGGCCUUUCAAAGGAUUUCCUAGAGUUACAUUUUUUUUAGCCCAACAUGAAUUUUUAUAAAAUGCUAUAUUUAUACGCGAGUUUCAUAUUGAAGCUAAACAUACCCAUUUUGAUCGGAAAAAAAAAGGAAAGAAAAUGGGGCCUUUUUUCCACCCUUAAUCCUAUCACUAUUUUUAAUUUUAUUUUAUUAGUUAAUGGUAUGUAUUUCACAGAUUCUGAUUGGAGGAGGCACUGACACUACAUCUGGUACUUUAACAUGGGCAAUCUCACUUUUAUUGAACAAUCCACACAUAUUAAGAAAAGCUCAAGAAGAAUUGGAUGCACAUGUUGGUAAAGAAAGAAUAGUAAAUGAAAUGGAUAUAAGCAAGUUGGUCUACCUUCAAGCAAUUGUUAAAGAGACAUUGAGGUUAAAUCCAACAGCCCCACUUUCAGGACCGCGUCAAUUCAUCCAAGAUUCUAUUUUAGGCGGUUACUAUAUCUCAAAAGGCACUCGUCUUAUAUUGAACCUCACCAAGAUCCAAAGAGACCCGAGAGUAUGGUUGAACCCAAUGGAGUUCCAACCAGAUAGAUUCCUCACCACCCACAAAGAUGUUGAUGUUAGAGGUAAACAUUUUGAGUUGACACCAUUUGGUGGUGGAAGAAGAAUUUGCCCUGGAGCAAUUUUUGCCCUUCAAGUGCUACACUUAACAUUAGCCAACUUCCUACAUAGAUUUCAACUUUCAACUCCAUCAGAUGCACCGGUUGAUAUGAGCGAGAGUUUUGGAUUAACAAACAUCAAAUCCACUCCACUUGAAGUUCUUAUCUCCCCACGCUUGGCUUCUUAUGAUCUUUAUGAGUAGAACUUGAGGUCGCUAAGAGACUUAUUUCAAAAAACCUAGUGCUAUGAAAUGUGAAAUAAAAAUAAAUUUCAUACAUGUAGCAUAAGUUUAGUAUUAUUUUAAAGCAGUUACUAAUGUGUGUCCUUUAGUAUUGUCUUAGCUUGAAUUUAAUAAAAAAAUAUUUUCGACAACUAUUUUGUGUGGACAAGUAAUGACCCAAUUUCUUGUUAUGUUUCUUCAUUCUUCCAUGAAAGAGAAUUUAGAAGAAAAAGUGGCAUAUAGCAUUACAAUUGAAAAAUUAAUAAGCAUGUACUCCACCAUAUGCAUAUAUAUGCAUAGUAGACUUAAUGAAUUUCCAAGUUGAUUAAUUGGUAUCUCCUUUUGAUAGAUUUCAGCCACCUUUUUGUACAUGAUUAAAGUAGUAAUGGAGACUAAAAUUACAACUCCCAUUUCAUUGUAAAAAGUUGGGAUGUGCAAGGUGGGUCAGUUCAAUUUUGGGCAUUAAAAUCGAAUCGAAUCGAAUUGAACCCAAAAGAGGAAAAUGAUUAGUUUGACUUGAUUAACAAUAAUCUAAGUUGGUUUAUUUUGCUUCUAUUUAUAACAUCAAUUUUUUUUUUAAUUUGAACGAAAAUAAUAUUAUUGAAGCAAGUCAUCUUUGGACGGUUGAAAUGAUAUUAUUACAACUAAUUUCAAAUCAUAUUAUUAUAACUUAAUGACAUGAAUAGGUAUUAUUGUAACCCAUGUCAAUCAUAUCAAAUAGUCCAAGUCAUAGAUAAAAGUUAUAAAGGUGUGAUUGGGAGUUCCAUCCAAUGUGAAAAAUGUAUACCAAAUUAAUAAUGUAACCAAUUGUUAUACUGUAUAUUAUUAUUGUGUGUGUAUAGCUUUCAAUUCAAUUCAGUUUGGUUCAUUAAUUUUUUUUUAUAGGUAAUUGAAUUGGUAUAACUUAGGUUUAUAUUUUUAAAAAUAAAAUCUUUAAAAAUUAAUAGAUUUGGGUCAAUUCCAUUGAUUUUGUCAAUCGUACACCCUAAAAGAAGGGAUGUCCACUUAUCAUCCAUAACUUUGUGUACUCCUAAGUUAGAAUUUUGCCCCAUGUGAUUCACAUUUGUACUUAUUAUUCUCAAAUUUUCGUACAAAUGAUUUAUUGUUUUGUGGAAUUUUACUCCAUGAGAUUCACAUUUGUACUUAUUAUUAUCAACUUUGUCUGCUCUUAAGUUACAAUUUCUCCUAAUUAGAUUCACAUGCGUUAUUGCCAUAAUUGACUUUCCACAUUUAUGCAUGAAUUAUUAUGUCAAUAGAUGCAUUAUCAUUUUGUCAAGUUAAUUUGACUUAGGUUAAUCACCAAAGACAAGGUGAAUUAAUUGACUCAAUUUUAAUAAAUUUUAAUUUAAAUGAGUGCAAGUAAUAAUAAUAAAACAGUAAAAAAAUACAUAAUUAAAUAAAUAAAAAGAAGAGAUAACUGGUACAAACUCCAAUUUAUAUUUUGCUCAAUCCUAUACUCUCCUCAAGCCCUCAAAUGCAAAUUGAGGGUUCCACUAGCUUUUAAGACUUCAAUCAAACCUUAAUCCUUUACACCUGGAUUCUCAAUUUCAAUGAUCUUUUUACACUUUAAUUCAAGAAAUUCCUCACUCUUGAACAUACUCAAAGGUAACACUUGAACAACAUUGAUCUCACAAAGUUUUAUUUACAGAUAAUAUAAAUGAAAACUUAAAUGGUUUUUUUUGGUUAGGAUUUCUAAAUUAAUAAGGAUUUUUACAUUAAAAAGAAAGAGUUAAGAUCAACUGGGUUUUGUAAGAUUUUGAUAUAUAUCUUAGUUUGCGAGUUUUUUGGGAUUAUAUUGUAAUCUUAUUGUUUUAUCCUAAAAUUGUCAAAAAAAGAAAUUAGUAAUUUAGUAUGGAAAUUUUACUCCAAAGAUUAUUGAUUAAAAAUUAUUUUACUAAUACCAACGUGUAAGAGUUAAAGGCAUAAAAUUGAAAUUAAAGUAAGUUUAUUAUUUUGGAUUUUGUUAAGUAAUGACAAGAUUAAUAAUUGAAAUUAAUGUAAAAAGAAGUGUAAAAACUUUAAAACUUUAAAAUAUCAUUUCAUUAUUAGUUUCCACUUGCCAACAUAGACUUCUCAUUCUAUUCUAACAAGUUUUUUGUACUUUUAUAUAUAUAUAUUUCAUAAACUUAACAAAGGAUACAAACAGCAAAAGAAAAAAAAAAUUGAGCUACUAAACCUCAAUAUAAAUUUGGGGUGAAUUGUCAAGGUCUAUUAAGGAGCAUGGGGAAGUACUGUAUCACAGAUCAAUGUGAAGAUGUAUAUAUAUUUAUAGUAUAGAACCUAAGAGAACGUUUCUUUCUAAGUUAGGUAAACAUUUCUGUCAAAGUUGAUGAAAUUUUACUAUAAUUUAUAUACACAUGCUUUCAGUGUGCAUAUAAAUUAUACGUGGAGAUGAUUUUUAACUUAUAUCUUGCUUUUUAUAUGUGAUUUAAUAUUGUUUUGGAUUAUUGAUUAUGACUUAUGAAUUAUCAUGCAUGGAACUAAUCAAAAUGAUAUAAUUAAAUUAUAUUAAUGAAUUUGAGAUAGACAUGGCAAUUAUUAAUUUAAAAUAUCUUAUAUGAACAUAAAAUUUUAAAUAUAGACUCAUAAUUUAUAUUAAAAUAAUAAAAUUAAAAAAGUACGUUUAUCUCAGAUUUAUGCCUAGGGCCCAAAUUUUGCUGAGAGACGGCCGGAUGUCAUCACAUGCAAGAAAGCUAGGAAACAAAGCUAAAGUUUGCUUCUUGUGUGGGAAGAGGUACUUCCGUGCUUGACUGAAAGAAAGGAUUUUCUACAAGAAAAAUUGUCCCCUUGUUUGUAAAGCCUCAAGUUGCGACAGCAAUAACGACAAAAGUAGGCCAAAGAAUUUGUCAUUAUUAUGAGACUAGAGAGGUUUUACUGAGAAGUUUUCCGAGCGUGAUAUCAGCAUUCGCUGUAUCACAGUGAUACAACAAAUGGUUUGAACACAGUGAUCUAGAACCCAUUAGCUCAAAUUUCAUUGAUCUGAACACGAUGAUCCUCAUCCGCAGACCAUUUUAGGGAAUAAUUAAUUCUAGCGAUUUUUUAACUGCAUGUACGAAGAACUUCAUCAAAAUUCGAUUAAGUGUAUCUUAACCAAUCUUGAUCAGUAUGCGACUGAUGAUUCUAUUUGAUAAAAGUAAUGCGGUGGCCCAACUUUAUCUUAAUUUCUAUGUUGAAAGUAAUCAUUAUAUUAUUCUAUAAUUAUAAAUGUAGACUAUGGAAUCAAGAUAACUUUGAUAUGCUGAGAUCAAAAGAGGGCGGCCACUUUAGUAGUGGACUAUAUAUACUAAAUAAAGCUGAUCGAUUAUUACAUUGGAAAAUAACAUUGAACCUAUCAUGAAAGACAACCCUACUGGACCAUGCCCCGAGUACUAAAUGCUGAUAAAAAACAAGUACAUGUUCCAAAGGAAUUGAGUCCAUAUAUACACAUUAGUGCUCAAAGAGAAAAACUAUAUAUCCACCGCUUAACUACAGUGAUCCUUUGAGCAGAAGUUAGCCAUGUAUUUCCUUUUCCAAUACCUAAACAUCACCACGGUCGGAGUCUUUGCCACACUUUUCCUUUCCUACUGUCUAUUAUUAUGGAGGUCUAGAGCUGGUAACAAAAAAAUAGCACCUGAAGCUACUGCUGCAUUGUCACGACCCAAAUUCCGGGUGACCCAUAAUUUGGCCCGUGACCCCAGGUCAAAGGUUUGACCCUAAGGGUUACUCCUAUUCCACGUUGGCAGUCAACUAAAACACUCUGAAAUUUUUUUUUUUCUCACAUAUAAGUCUCACUAGGUUCUCACCAACUAACAAUAUUUCAACCCUUACUCAAACACAUUAAGAUUUAAUAAAUAUCAUUGCAUUCCAAAAUAAAAUUUCAUAAAAAUCCCCUUAAUCGAAUUAAGGUCUUAUUACAUUAUCCAUAAUUCACUUAUUACAAGAUCUCAAUACCACAAACAUAAUAAAAAAAUAAAACACAUUCCACUAAACCGCUCCAAGGGCAUCCUGAAGUCCUCCCUGUCCCACCUGUGGAUCCUCAGGAGUGAUAUCUGCAUCUAAAAAUAUAUAUAUAAAAAAAAAGGGUGAGCAUUUCCACAUUGCUCAGUAGGGUGCCUAACACCCAAAGGGUUAAUGGGGGAUUACUAUAUUUCAAUAACCCAAACACAACAGUUUACCAAUAUAAAUCAAGUCACACAAUUUAACAUAUAAUAUUAUACUCAAUCCCACAACAUCCAAUCAUUACAUAUUAAAUUACCACCUACAUCUAUAAGUUCUUCAUCUUUUUAUAAAGGAGCUAUAGAAAUGUUAAAAAGUCGAAAGAAGACAACAAAUAGUUCUCCAAACAACACAACUGAUUUAGAUAGAUAUCUUAAUAUUGAUUUAAUUUCAUUUGAAGAUGAUGAAGAUUUUGAUAUUUUAAUAUGGUGGAAAUCACAACAACACAAAUAUCUUGUGCUUUCUAUCAUUGCUCGUGAUGUACUAACAGUUCCUGUGAGUACAGUUGCAUCAGAAGUUGCUUUUAGUGCAGGUGGAAGAGUAGUUAGUGAUAAACGAUGCAGCUUAGCGCCGGAUUCUAUUGAAGCAAAUAUAUGUCUGAAAGACUGGGCAAUAGCAGAUAAAAGGAUAUUUGAUUCUAUUCAAGAAGAAAAUAUGCUUGUCGAUAUGGAAAAACUAAAAUCAUCAGAUCUUCAUGGAUUUGCGAUAGUUAGCCAUCACCGCUAAGAGAUAAUGAUUAAAAUAUUUUACUAAAUGUAUGUCAUAUUUUUAUUUUUAUUUUUGUGGUUGAAAAGUACAAAUGAUUGACAAAUAAGUAGGUGCCAACCUAGUUGAGAUGUAUUUAUUUUGUAGUGAUGUAAACUUUUUCCACAUUUUCAAAUGUAAUGUAUAUAUUCAAUGAAUAAAAUAGUUAGCAAUGAAUAUUUUUAUUAAUGUAGCAUUUUCUAUUUUUUGAAUAUAUUUUUAUAUAUAUAUAUAUAUAUUUUUAAGUGGCGGGCCUACGGGUGGGCCCACGGCCGGGCCGGGCUUAAAUUGGGGCCCAUCCAAAAAUGGGCUCGGGUCGGGCUUUAGCCUACUGGGCCGGGCCGCGAGCUUUUUGGAGACCCUUAAUUUUUAUAAAUUACAGAAAAGAAAGAAAGAAAAAAAAAAAGAGAAAUCUACAUAUAGCUGCAUUUGUGUUUGUCAUGGAAAAUGAAAAAUAUUGCUAGAGUUUAUAAUGUAAAACAAAAUGCAAAUGUGAAACGCAAAGCAUAUAAGCUAUUUUAGGGUAAAAUCCAUGAAUGACCAAAUGGCCCAAAAAAAAGAUCAAAUUGGAAAUACGAUCGGUCAACGGUUGAAUCGAUUGGUGCAAUCCAAUUUUCAAAACCAUGAAAAUUUUAAUAUAUGACUUAAGCAUGUAAGUUUGAUAUAACAACGAGUAAAAAAUAAAUUAUAGAAUCCCUUUAGAUGAAAAAAGAUUUUAAUAAUUAUAAAUUUUUAUGAGAUGGAUAUGAUUUAUUAAGAUAAUUUUAAAAAAUAAUAAAUAAAAUUUAAUAUUAAAUUUUAUUUAUAAGAAUAAAAUAUCUUAAGAUAAUUAUGAGGGUAGGUAGAGGAUGCUAUUUUUAUGAGAAGCAUAAUAUGAUGCGUUUUGCAUUAAAAAGUCAAAUUCAUCCACACAUGUCCAUGUCUAUGAAACACAUUACACCGAACAUUAUUUUCAAAUUCGGACAUUAUUUUCAAACCCAACCUACGUAAGGCAUGUUUUUUUUUUUUUUUUUCUUUUUAAUUAUUAAAUUAGUUGUAUUUUGGUUCAAAACUCACGUGGGAAGAAGACUAGAGGGGGAACAUUUUUGUUGCGAAGCUAUACGGAAUAAAAUUUAUUCAGAAGCCGGUCAAAACUCAAAUUUAUCUGCGGAACUUUUGUACUUAUCUUUUGACAAUUGGAAUGCUUCCCUACAAAUUAACUAAAUUAAUAGUCUCCUUGUUUUAUCAGAAGCGAAGGAAAAAGUAGGACUCAUGCAUCGUACAACACAAAUAGGCAGAUCUUUAGUCAUAGAUGGUGCAUGCCGUAAAGUAGCCGUCUUGAGCUUGGUAAGAAACCAAGCUAUUAAAACUUGACUUGAACUGUUCAUUCUCAAGGGGGUAAGUGCCAGCCAGGGUUCAAAUUUUAUGAUGCGGGCAUGCAAGACUUAUACCAAUCUGCCGUUCUAAUAAUAGAAUGUAGAAGACACCAAGCACCUCCUGCAUGCAUCUUGAGGCGGUGUAGACACGCAUCCCAAGGCGAAGUUGUUCUCUACGACCUAAGGAUCAAUUUAGUAAUUGUUUUAAAAAAUAGUUUUUUGAGGUCAAUUUUUGAAAAUUAUUUUUAAAAUUUUUAAAAUAAAAAUAUGUUAGAAAACCUAAAAUAUAACAUGUUUUUAAAUUUUUUAAAUAUAUUUUAAAAAUAAUUUUUAUAUAUUUUUAAUUCUUAUAUUUAUAUAAUUAUUUUUUAAAACAACGGUUAGAAAACAAGUAAAAACAAAUAAAUUUUUUUUAAAAAAAAACAUUCUAUUUUAUGUUAUUAAUAACUUUUAAUUAUCAAAAGUUUUAUUUUAUAUUUUUUGUUUUAAAGAACAAAAAGCCUGCUCAAAAAAACAGUUGCCAUAACUUUUUUCUGAUCUGUAGUGAUCCUAGGAAGGCUGUUUUCUAAAUAUAGUAAUAUAAUAAAAAAAUGUGGUCAUAGUAAGAAAAUACCGUUUGGACAUGUCCAUGGUAUUAUGCAUAUGCUUGAACAGGGAAGCUACCCACAGUUUAACCACAGUAAUCCAAUAGCAACAUCUAAGCUACCAUGGAUUUCCUUCUCCAAUGCCUAAACCCUGCCAUGGUUGGAGCAUUUGCAAUACUUGUCCUCUCCUACUACCUGUUAUUAUGGCGGUCUGGAGCUGGUAAGGGCAGAAUGGCACCUGAAGCUGCUGGUGCAUGGCCCAUAAUAGGUCACCUACACCUCCUAGGUGGGUCUAAGAAUUUGCCCCACUUACUUUUGGGAACCAUGGCCGACAAGUAUGGAGCAGUAUUCAGCGUUCGGCUGGGAUUGGAAAGAGCUGUGGUGGUGAGUAGUUGGCAGAUGGCCAAGGAAUGCUUCACCACCCAUGACCUGGCUCUGGCCUCCCGUCCUCAACUUGUAAUCUCCAAACAAUUGGGAUAUAACGAUGCCAUGUUUGCUUUCUCUCCUCACGGUGCAUACUGGCGGGAAGUGCGAAAGAUAGCCACUCUAGAGCUCCUCUCGAACCGCCGGCUAGAGUUGCUGAAGAACGUCCGAAUCUCAGAGGUGGAGACAUGCAUGAAGGAACUAUACAAGCUUUGGGCUGAGAAGAAAAACGAGGCAGGCGUUGUUUUGGUGGACAUGAAGCAAUGGUUUGGGGACUUGACUCUGAACGUGAUUCUUAUGAUGGUUGCUGGAAAACGAUAUUUCGGUUAUACAGCCGAAAGUCAAGAGAAAGAGACCCAGCGGUGCCAGAAAUCGAUUAGGGAAUUCUUUCGUUUGUUGGGUCUCUUUGUGGUGUCGGAUGCCCUUCCUUUUCUUGGCUGGCUUGACGUGGGUGGACAUCUGAAAGCCACGAAGAAGACUGCAAAAGAAAUGGAUGGUAUUGCUCAGGAAUGGUUAGAGGAACACCGACAGCGAAAAGAUUCGGGUGAAGCUAAUGGUAACCAGGACUUAAUGGACGUGAUGCUGUCCAUUCUGGCUGGCACGGACCCUACCGGCUAUGAUGCCGAUACAAUCAACAAAGCCACAUCCCUGGUAUGCACAUUAUUCCUCGAGCACCUUUAUAUGCUACUAAAAAAAAUGACAUUCUUCUCAAGACAUAAUUUCAUGCUUUAUCCUCUUUAGUCGGGACUCUCAGACUCUCGAGAGUACUCACACCUUCAAUGGAAUAACUUUCUGUUGCUGGUUGAAGCUAGUCAAAGUCAAUACUUUUUAAAAGAUAAUAUUAGAUUUAUAAAAGUUUUAUCAAUUAUGAAAGAAUUUUUUGCAUCAGCGCAAAUAGAAUUUUUUUACUUAAAAAUAAAACGUUUUUGAUUUCAUAUUGUGUUUUAUUAUACGUUGUUAUUUGUCAAAAGAGUAACAUGAGAAGCUUCGACAAGCAAUUAUAAUGAAAUACAACCCACCUGAGAAUCUGAGCGUAACUAGAAUUAUGACGAACCUCUGGCUUGGGUGUUUGGGCUGGGCUGGUAAUGAUCCAACUCUCCUCUGGGUGGCUGGCCCAUUCUUGUCAGAAGAUCAUGAAAGUGUGUUCAUUAUUCCUCAUGCUUUGAGGCCUCAUUGACUGGGCUUCUUGAUCUUGAGUUGGUUAGACAAUUACGCCUUUCAAAGACUCCUCGUCAUAAUAAAUACAGGGGCUUUCCCUCGUAAAUUUAAGGAUUUUUAUAUUUUAUAUUUUAUUUUAAUUUUGAAGGCCAACAUGAACUUUUAUAAAAUGCUAAAUUUAUGAGCGAGUUUCAAAUUCAAGCUACUUUUGAUCGACGGACACUAAACUCUAACUCUAGAAGCAGACUCCUAUUGGUUUCUAAGGGGCACUCACUCUUGAAAAUAAAUAAAUAAAUAAAUUGAAGCCUUUUCCUCCUUAAUCCUGUUAGUAGUUAUAAUUUUAUUAACAUUAGUUAAUGUUUUGUACUUGACAGAUUUUGAUUGCAGGAGGCAGUGACACUACAUCUGUUACUCUAACAUGGGCGAUCUCACUUUUAUUGAAUAAUCCAUGUAUGUUAAGAAAAGCCCAAGAAGAAUUGGACACUCAUGUUGGUAAAGGGAGAUUGGUAAAUGAAGUGGAUUUAAGCAAGUUGGUCUACCUCCAAGCAAUUGUUAAAGAGACAUUGAGGUUAUAUCCCGCAUUUCCACUUUCAGGACCACGCCAAUUUAACCAAGAUUCCAUUUUAGGUGGUUACCGUAUCCCAAAAGGCACUCGUCUUGUGUUGAACCUCACUAAGAUCCAAAGAGACCCAAGUAUAUGGUUGAACCCAACAGAGUUUCAACCAGAAAGAUUCCUCACUACUCACAAAGACAUUGAUAUGAGGGUCAAAAAUUUUGAGUUUACACCAUUUGGUGGUGGAAGAAGAAUUUGCCCUGGUGCAACUUUUGCCCUUCAAGUGCUACACUUAACAUUAGCCAAUUUCUUGCACAAAUUUCAACUUUCGACUCCAUCAGAUGCAACAGUUGAUAUGAGCGAGAGCCUUGGGAUAACAAACAUCAAAUCCACUCCACUUGAAGUUCUCAUCUCGCCACGUUUGUCUUCUUGUGAUCUUUAUGAGUAAAACCAAUGAAUGUUGAGAGAGACUAUUUCAAGAAACCUAGUAUUAUAUAUAGGAAAUAAAAAUACAAAUAAAAUUUGUACAUGUGGUACAAGUUUAAAAUAAUAACUAAUGAGUACUAUACUUUUUUAAUUUUAUCUUAGCUUGAAUUUUGGUGUUUUUUUUUUCUCCUUGUAGAAGAAAAAGUGGCAUAUAGCAUUUUUCUUUCGGUAUAGAUAGUGAAAAAUAAGUAUGCACUUGACCAUAUGCAUACGUGUGCAAUAGACUUAAUGAGUUGCAAGUUGAUAAUUGAUCUGUCUUUUGGUAGAUUUUAGUUGCCUUCUUGUACAUCAUUAAAGUAGAAGAUAAAGACGAAAAUUAUAACUUCACCCAUUCAAUUAAAAAUCAAUUUAAUUGAAUUUAAAGAAGAAAAUGGUUGGUUCGGUUUGACUAACAAUAAUUGAUUCGUCGGUUUAUUUUGUUUCAAUUUGUUUUGGUUUGUUGUAACAAUAAAAAUCAUUUUUUUUGGUUAAUUUGGACUAAAAAAAAAAAACCAUGAUUAGAUAAAAACUAUAAAUGUGCAUAUGAAGUUGUAUCGAAUGUGAAAGCUUUUCAUCAAAUUAAUAAUAUAACCAAUACUCAUAUUAUUGAUGUAAAUAUAGAACUUCUAGAUAAGUUCAAUUUGUUUUACUAUUGAUUUUUUAAAUAGGUAACCGAAUUGGUCUAAUUCAAUUUUAUAUUUUAAAACCCAAUAUUAUUAAAAGAAAAAUUGCUAAAAAUUAGUGGAUUAGGGUUAGUUCAUUGAUUCUGUCUACACCCCAAAAAGAAGAGUGUCCACUUCGUAUUGUCAACUUUGUGUGCUUAUAAGUUACAAUUUUGCACCAUGAGAUUCACAUUUGUACUUAUUAUUGCUAAUUUUGUGUGGUCAUAAGUUAUAAUUUUACCCCACUAGAUUCACAUUUGCUAGCAUCAUAAUUGACUUUCUACAUCCAUGCAUUCAUGAAUCAUUACAUUUCAAUACUGUAUUACCAUUUUGGUGCUAAACAAGAAGACUCGUCUUUAAAGUACUCAAGCAAACCCUCACCAAUUUUAAUCAUUUUUCAAUUUAGAUGAAUGGGAGCAACAACACUAGAACAAUGAAGUAGAUGAUGAAAUAAAAUAAAAAACAAAGAUAGUAUACAAACUCUAAUUUUAUUGGUUUGUCAUAGUCUUGACUUAUAUGCACUCUCCUCAAACUUUAAAAUUCUGCUAACUUCUAAUCCUUCAAGCCAAUCUUAAACUCUUACAUUUUGAUUCUUGAUUCCAAAAGACCUUCUUACACUUGCCUCAAUAGAUUCUUUACUUUUGAAUACACUAGUCACAAGUUGUUAACAAUUGAACAAAAUUAAUCUUUCUAAAUCUUAAUUAGUACAAGUUUAAACUUGAGAAAAUACAAGAGGAAAUUAGGAUGUUUUGUCUUAGAUAAGAUUUAUAAGUUAAUCAAGAAUUUUACAUUGAGAACAAAGAGUUAAGAUCAAUUCAGUUAAGUGAGAUUGUAGGAUCUAAUUAGUUUGAGAUCUUAAGCGGUCCUGUUAUAAUCUUAUUAUUUUAUUCCAAAAUUGCCUAAGAGGGAAGUAGUAAUUUAGGACAACAAUUCCCUCCCAAAGUUUAUUGGUUUGAAACUAAUACUUUAUUAUACCAGCAUGUUUGAGUUGAAAACACAAAAAUUGAAGCUAAGGCAAGUACUUUACAAUUCGGAUUGGGUUGCAUCGAGCUUUGGUGGUAACUACUUGGGAGAUGGCUAAAGAAUGCUUGACCGCCAAUGACCAGGUUUCAUCCUCGCGUCCCGAACUUUUAGCCGCAAAACAUUUGGGCUACAACUACGCCAUGUUUGGUUUCUCUCCAUACGGUUCUUACUGGCGUGAAGUGCGCAAGAUAAUCAGCCUAGAGUUACUCUCUAACCGCUGCCUAGAGCUGCUGAAGGACGUCUGUGCUUCAGAAGUGGUGACAUCCAUAAAAGAGCUAUACAAGCUCUAGGCAGAGAAAAAAAAUGAAUCGGGCCUUGUCUCGGUGGAAAUGAAGUAGUGGUUUGGAGAUUUGACUCUGAACGUAAUUCUUAGGAUGGUGGCAGGGAAGCGUUAUUUCAGUGCUUCAGAUGCAAGUGAAAAUAAACAGGCGCAGAGGUGCUGGAGAGUGUUCAGGGAAUUUUUUCAUUUGGUAGGGCUCUUUGCGGUGGCGGACGCUAUUCCUUUUCUUGGAUGGCUCAACUGGGGGAGACAUGAGAAUACCCUAAAGAAGACAACAAUAGAAAUGGACAAUAUUGCUCAAGAAUGGUUAGAGGAGCACCGUUGGAAAUCAUGAUAAUAGUACGCAAGACUUCAUGGAUGUGAUGCUGUUAGUUCUUGAUGGCAAAAAUCUUGGUGAGUACGAAAGCCACAUGCUUGUGUGGACCCGCAUUUUUCACGUGCACCUCCACUCAAUCGGCGAGACUCGUUUUUUUUUGGUGAAGAUGUUGUUUUUGGAAAAGUCGGAGUCGCCACUUAUUUUAUUUUAUUUUAAAGGGAAAAUAAAACAAGAAAUAAAACCCUAAAAAAUGACUCCAUAGUUUUUUGGAAAAGCAUGUCUUUGAAAAACCCGAGUCUAGGUCCGGGGAUCAGGUUACUUAUUGGGAAGGUACCUCCAGGAGAUAGCACCUCUCUAAGCCCUACAAAGGUCCCUACUGACUAUGUUGAAGGAAAUGUGGCAAUCAACUGAUUAAUUGAGGGUACCUAGGUAGGCUAAGGUGAUCUCAAAACUAGCAUGCUAAACAAGAAAAACCAAUCACGCCCAUAAAGGAAAGUUAGGAUGCGUACCUGGACCACUUCUUAAGCGCUAUCAUAAAACAUCAAUGGUUAGUUUAGAUAAUAUAUCACUCAGUAUGUGUUUUAUCAUGAAUGAUCAAACAAUGUAGCAAAUAUCAAGACAUCCCAAGCAUUCUCAAACAUAGGUAUAAAUCAUAAUGACGAUCAUAUUUACAAAAUUUGGAAGGUAGGUGACAGGAGACGUACCUGGAUAGCAUAGAUAACUUGUAACGUGCUUUCACAAGACAUGAGAGGUUAGAUAACAAACAAUAAAAUAAGAAGUCCUAGCAUGUUUGUUAUCUAAUUAGCAUAGAAAAAAAAAAUUAUCAUAGUAUAUGAAACCAUCAAUUAUCACUUAUAUCUUCUGUAUAAUUUCUAAAAAAUAAAUAGACAUGAUUUCCUUAAAUAGCAAAGGGGGCAACAAAGAUGAGUUUUGAAAAUUUUCCUUAUGUAGGGGCUUCACCAAUUCCCCGAUUGAUAUACACAAAUCUAGUUUAGAAUUAUCCCAUUUGUUUGGGACCACAAGCUUGGAUUCAUGUCUUACUCAAAACUGUAAUUUUAUUUGAAAUUUAAGAAAGAUGCAAACAGAUCAAAACAUGGUUGCACAUUAUUUGAGAAAAUGAGAUUUCGAUUCUAAGAACUCUAAAUGAAUUUUUGAAAUGGAUUCCUAAAGGGAAUGAGAUUUUGAUUCUAAGAACUUUAAAUGAAUUUUUGAAAUGGAUUUUUAAAGGGAUUUUUUUUAGAAUAGUGUUAUGUUUUAAAAAUAAAAGAAAUUAAUUUCAAAACAAUAAAACGUAUGAAUCAAAUACCAAGCAAAACAAAAGAGAACAAAAUCACAAAGUAGAAUUUUUGACAACCAAGAAAAUUGAAGUGGUGAGAAUGGAAGCCAAUCUUCACUAUUUUUCGAUGGUCUCCAAAAAGUAAAUUUUACUAGAGACUACCAAAGCAAUAAACUAUUCAAACUUGGAUCAAAUAAGCUAACGAAAUACCCACCAAGAAUUAAUGACGAAAAUUCAAGAAACACAUCUACUAAGAAUAACAAUCAAGAAUUAGCAUGAGAUCAAUUAAACACACAAACGCAUCUAGAUUAACUAAAAUGAACCAAAUUAAAUCAAAGCAAACAAUAAUUUUCAAACAUAGAAUUAACUUUAUUAAUGAACUAAUAUUAUAUAAAAUACCUAAAUCGAAUAGAUGUGCAAAACUAAAUCAAAGUAAACUAAAGGCAUGAAUUCUCAAAAAUAGAAUUGAUUUUAUUAAUGACCUAAAAUUAUACAAACUCCUAAAAUAAUUAAAAUGAAUCAAUUUAAACGAAAGGAAACUAAAACAAAAUAUGAAUUCAGGGAAUCUAAUUUCGAAAUAAACUUACAUUAUUAAAAUGAAAUCUAGGCUUAAAAACUAUUAAACACUAAUUAAAGCCAAUCUAAACUUAAAUUCUUAACACACAUGAUCAAUUAUUUUAACAAACUAACAUUUUACCUUAACCACAAAUUAAAUUAAAAAACUACUUGAGACUAAAUUUCUAACCUAUAAAAUUAAACUCAUAAUCAAAUGGAUAAGUUGAUGACACAGACAAAUAAAUAUGAAUAAAAUAAAAUAUGAAUGAAAUGAAAUACGAACACAAGGAAUUAAAUAAUUUUUUCUUUUUUUUAAUAAACUUAUGUUAGUAAAAUAAAUUUGAGCUUAACAAACAUUUUUAUCACUAAUUAAGGCAAGUUUAAAAUAUAAUACUUAACACAUAAAAAAUCAAUCAUUUCAACAAACUAUAAUUUUAACUAAACUUAAAGUCAAUUCAAACAACCUUCAAUAGAUUUUUUUAUUUUUAUUUUAAACUGAAUUUUUAACCCAUAGAUUCAAUCUCAUUGAUAAAUAAAUAAAUAAAUAAGUUACAAAGCAUUAGCUUAGUAGCAAAUAAAUAAAUAAACAACUAAUAAUUAAAUGAAUCACAACUAAACUAAAUAAAGAUCAAACUAUAUUAUUUUUUUUAUUUUUCAAAAGUAGAAUUACAUGAAUUUGUAUUUUUUGAAUUUAAUAUAAUAUACCAAACUAAACUUAAACACAAUUCUCAUUCUGCCAUAUUAAAACAAAAAAUGCAUGGAGUUAGUAAAUAAAGUCAAAUGACACAAUAUAAUAAUAAUUCCACUAAAAAACCAAUCAAACUAAUUAAAAUUCUAAAAAAUAUCAACUAAAACAAGAUCAAUCAAAAUUAGCGUGUAUAUAUAUAUAUAUAUAUAUAUAUAUAUAUAUAUAUAUAUAUAUAUAUAUAUAUAUAUCUUUAUUUUUAGUUAUUUAUUUAUUAAAACACGAAUACAUCAACACGAAACGAAAUAAACUAACCAACUUACAUUCUAAAACUAAAAGGAUAAAUCAUGAAUUAAAAUUAACAACCUUUGGAUAUGAAAAGAGUGGCAUGGAAUCAAUUGAAAUAAUAAACUAAAAUUUAAUAACAUCUAAACUAAAAGAUAAAUUAAAACUAAAUUAAAUGAAAUUAUGAACUUCCUAAUUGAGAAAAAAAAUAAUAAUAGUAAUAAAUCUAAUCAAAAUUCUAAAUUUUAAACCAUCAUCAUGAAUUGCCCAAACUCUUAAAAAAUCCUAACCUUUCCAUUAUCAACAAAAAUUGCCUAAACCAAUAUUUAAAAAAUCUAAUUUGUCAAACUAAGAAUAAUAAAUUGUAACUACAUUAAACAAAAAUCAUAAUCUUCAAGCUAGAAUAAUGAAUCAAUAAUAAUUAAUUUAUUUAGAUAAGAAAAAUUAAAAAAAUAAAUUAAAGAUUAACAUCUAAGCUAAACAUGAAUUUACAAUAAAAAUUUAAAAUACAAAGAUUGAAUGGGAAUAAUUUUAAAACUAAUAAAUUGUCAUCAGGAAAUAUAUUGAUAUUAGAAAUAAUUAAACUAUAUAGAUAAAACUCUAAAACGAUUAUGCAUUGAAUUGAAUAUUUCUUGAAUCAAAAUUGAAAUAGGAAGGAUAAAUUCACAUUUUCCGAAACGUGUAGGUCACUUUCCACUAGUAGGAUUUCUAUUUUUUAUUUUAUUUUAAAAGAAUCAUUGCCAAGGAUGCAUGGUGUGGUGGCUGCCCAUGCACUGUAGCUGAAGACUUCUUCUUGGUGGUCUUUGAAACCUAGGAGCAUGGCUGAAUGUUUCCUUUCUUCCAAUAGUGCAACUGCUCCGGAAGUCCUCUCAACGGUGCGGCUGAUUCAGAAAUCGUCAUCUCAAUGGUGCGGCUGUUUCGGAAAUCUUCCUCUCAAUGGUGCGGCUACACCCUCUCACAUUCCAGAAAAUAAUCUUACUCCUCCCACCUGGAUCCCCUUUAGUGCGGCUGUUGAUCUCCUUCCCGUUUGGUGUCACCCUCUCUUCUGAUGCAUGCUGAAAGCGUCCCAAGAAUGGUGCAGCUGGUCGUUCUUGCUUCUCCAAAGGCGUCAGACCCUCUUAUGCGUGCUGAAAGCGUCCUAAGUAUGGUGCGGCUGGUCGUUCACCCCUCUCCAAAAAAAACUCUCCCCCCUCUCACUUUCUAACCUUCCUCUCCAGUACUCUGCCAACAUGGGAAGACAACUCACCAGCCCGGAGAGCCUCAAUCAUCCACGUCAGUCUAGCAUCAUCAGGACUCUCCUUCCUGAACAUAGUCUUCAUUCCGUCCAAAUACCCAUUGAACAUUUCCUUUUUCCAUGCCAAAAGAACUUUGGUAAUUUUCUUUCUUCAUUCAUUUCCUUCCAUUAGAAGCACAAUCAACACAUGCAUGGGUGCAUACUUGCUUUCCUUCUUAGUUCAUUUUCUUCCAUACGUCCUGUCCUCUUCCAACCACCUUGAAUCCAUCCUUUAACCCGCUGAAUAUUUCCUUUCCAUAAUCACACAUGAAAAUUCCUCUUUUUAAUUUUUUUUUUUGACUGAAUAUCCUCUAUUUCCUGAAAGACUCACACAUGAAUAUCCUUGCCAAUACACGUUUUCAACCUUCCUUUUUCUCUCCAGUGAUGAUUCCUUUGGUGAGUUUCUCUACAAAAAUAUAAAGAAAAUUAGACUUAAUGAAUGAAUCCCAAGGUGUUUUAGAAAAUUAUAAAAUAAAUUAACAAAAUAAUUAAGUAAAUAAUGAUAAUAAUAAUAAUAAUAAUAAUAAUAAUAAUAGUAAAGUGUCAUGCAAUCUAUGCAACCAUGCAAUCAUGUGAGCAACUCAAGUCAUGCAAAGAAUGUCUAAUGGGCCUCGGGUGUAUCUAAUGGACCUAAAGGGUCUAAGUGGACCAAUGAUGGUGCCUAAUGGGCCUAAGUGGGCCUAGGGUGGUGCCUAAUGGACCUAAAGGGUCUAAGUGGGCUUAGGGUGGUGCCCAAGUGUAUCUAAGUGAACCUAAAGUGCUUAAGUGGAUCUAAGUGAACCUAAAGUGUUUAAGUGGAUCUAAGUGAACCUAAAGUGCCUAAAUGGGCCUAAGUCUAAAUUAGGGCUACUAAGAGUCACAAUAGGGUUAAAUGAAUCCCUCUACCAAAGUCUCCGAGGUGGCUCAAAAAAGGUAAGUAGUAUGAGUAGCUAUGGGCCACUAAGGAACUACUGUGGAGCACUGGAAGUGAACUUAAAGACAUGUGCUAAAGGAACAAAAUUGAGGGUCUACAACCUGGUAUGAGUAUUAAUGGAACACCCACGUAACAUUGAUAAAGACAAAUUGCAAGGAUAAGGCAAUGAUCGAACAAAUAACCUAUGAUUAAACAAGAUCAUUCAAAAUCAAUUUUGUAUAUUUUUGUAACCGUUAUUUGAUGUGUUGACUUGAACAAUUCUGUAACUGUUGUAUAGUUGUAGGCAAAUUGAUGUACAUUGCCGCAAAUAGUUUUUCUUAGCUAUGCAUAUAAGUAAACUCUUAUUACAUCAAUAAAAGUGUGAAAAUUUUCAUUGAAAACAACAAUGUUAUUUCUUCUAUACUAUUUAUAUUUGCAUAGGGCUAGCUUCUUUUCCAUAGUUUUUCUUUUGUUUAUAUGUUUUAAUUGAUGCAUAUUCACUUUCUUAUUCUCUUAAUUAAAUUGCAAUAAUUAAAACUCUAAUUUAAAUAAAUUUUAAAAUUUAUUUUUAACUAAAAACAACAAUAUACAUAUACAAAUAUAUACUGCUUAAGUAAUUAAUUUUUUUAAAAAAUAUCCUUUGAGAACAUCUCAGACAAACUAAGACAUGCUUCUAGGGAAAUCUAAAUAUAAUGUUUUUAAAAGCUACCUUGUAAUUUUAUUUUCGAGCAUGUUGCAUUAUAUAUACUUUCCUUGAAUUGAUUUUCCAAAUUUUAUUUUUGUCAACAAUAAGGGUUAUCUACGUUUUGGAAGAUAUCUUUAAUUUCCCCUCCAAAGAAUAAGUGAUCUUGAAACUUAUAAGUUAAUUAUGUUCACUUGAUCGAAUAAGAGAUUUGAACAAUCUUGUAAAAAGAUGUUAAGCAGAUGGUUGAUUUCGAAAUUAUCCUUUAAACUAUAAAGGGAAAUAGAAAAAAAUACUAUUAUUUUGGUACAAGACCAUAUUGUUUAGUAGUGUCUCUAGGGAGUUCCAUUAGAUGCUAUCAAACAAUUAAUUUGGUGUCUCACUAACGUAAUUUUGAGUUGUUGAAUUUUGGGUUUUGCAAACUCUAAUUGCUGGAGGUAGUGACACAACUGUUGUCUCUCUAACCUGGGUAUUCUCUCUUUUACUCAACAACCGCGACACCUAAAAAAAAGCUAAAAAAAAAAAAUAUUCAAGUUGGCAAGGAAAGAUUAGUGAAUGAACAAGAUAUAAGUAAGUUGGUCUAUCUUCAAGCCAUUCUUAAAGAAAUUGAGAAAAUAAAGGCUAAUCUUAAAAGAUAAAAACACCCAAGAGGGGGGUGAAUUGAGUUUUUAAAAAUUAUUUUUAAACACAACAAAUUUAAGCAUAAGAGAAUCAAAUAUAAAAAGAUAAGGUUAGAGAAAUCAAACUCAGAUUUUAUAAUGGUUCAACACUUCCUUACCUACAUCCACUCUCCUCAAGCUCUUAACCGAGUGAGGGUUCCACUAACAUGAAGUUUCAACCAAACUUCUAAUUACAUUUACACUUAGAUUCCGGCUCCAAUGGGCUCUUACACAAUCUCUUCAAGUUUCAACUCACUUAAAGACUUUAACACUAAGUUAACAAGUAUGAAUCUCUCAACUUAGCUCAACAAUGACUCAAAUACAACCCAAAGCUAGGAUGAAUCACAAAGGUGCACUAAAGGAUAUGUAAAUGGAGAUUUAAUGCACCAAGAAAAGAAAUGAGAGCUUUUAAGGCAAGAACAAAUAGGUAAGCAAAUAAAUGCAUGUGUUCUCUUACUCAUAAAUGAAGUGGAACUCUUUAUUUAUAGGUUUUUAACAUUAUAAGCCAAAAAACCAAAAAAACAGUCUCAAUCGGUUGAGCUGAGGGUCAAUCGGUUCACUAGCCAUUGCAGCAUUUAAUGCUUGUCAGGUGACAGUUACCCUCGACCGGGAAGACAAAUCCCUCGACUGGGAAGGAAAGGCUACUGAAAAAGAGAGAGUCUUUUUUGCACCUCUCGGUCGGACCUCAACAGGAAAGGGGGAGCCGGUCGACCGGUACCCUAGUCAAUUGAGCCUGUUUGGACAUAGCCUUGAUCGGUUCACAAUUUUUUACCCGAAAACCUAUCUUUUUCUAGUAUUUUUGCUUCAAACACAUAGGUAAGGUCUUCAGAUAAAAUAUAUGCCAAUUUUGAAACGUUUAGCUUAAGGUUCAUUUGAUAGAUCUCGGAUUUUGGUGAAAAUGUAACUUUAAAGCAUAAAUCGAGUUUUUCAAAGAUGCAUGAAAUAAUAUGUAAAUCCUAAGUGUAUCAAUGCAUUCAUCUUACAUAUGUUUCCUAUCAUUAAAGGUCUUUCCAAAAGUCUUGAUCUUGCAUCCAUUAGGUCAUUUGAUGAAUUUCCAAAUUAACACCUGAAAUUUUUUAUAAUUUAAACCAAUUAGUAACUUAACUAUGAUUUGUUAUCAUCAAAACAUGAUUAGGAGAACCCUUGGGCUAACAGAGACAUUACGGUUAUAUCCACCAAGACCACUUGGAGGACUAUGCCAAUUUAUUGAGGAUUGCACCUUGGGUGGAUACCAUGUCUUUAAAGACACUUGUUUAAUAAUGAACCUUUCGAAGAUCCAAAAUAUCCAAGAAUCUAGUUAGAUUCGAUAGAAUUCUAACCAGAGAGGUUUCUCAUCAACCAUAAGAAUGUUGAUCCUUAGGGAAAACAUUUUGAAUUUAUACCAUUUGGAGCUGGUCAAAGAGCAUGUCUAGGAAUAGCUUUUGGUCUUCAAAUAUUAUAUUUAGCAUUAGCUAGUUUCUUACAUGCAUUUGACUUUUCAACUCCAUCAAAUGAACAUGUUGAUAUGCGAGAGAGCUUUGGACUUACAAAUAUGAAAUCUAUCCCACUCGAAGUUUUCAUUUCUCAAAUCUACCCCACUUGAAAUCCUCAUUUCUCUACACUUAUCUUCUUGUAGUCUUUACAACUAAAACAUUGAAAUGAAGAGGUCAAAGUUGACCCAGCUAGUCUUGGUUUAAAGACAUAUAGAGUUAGGUUCAAUCAAUCUAUGAUAAGAUUUGAGAUUUGUAUUAAAAGUAGGUUGGACUAAGAAUGAUGUACAAUAAACUAAAGUACUAUCCAUGCAAAUAAAGUAUAACAUUAUAUAUUAUUUGGUUAGCAUUCUGAAAUGUAACAUCAUAAUUAUUUCUUUGUUUUGUCUAAUUUAUCGCCAUUUCACCCCCUCAUCUUCAUCAAAACAAAUAAUAUAUAGUCUUUCUAUUUUUAAAAAUCAAAUUCGAUUCCCAAUUAUAUAAGAAUUUUACUAUUACUUUAUAAUAAACUUUACUUUAGUCUUAAUAACUUUGACUUGUAAAUAUGUUCUCCAUCCUUAAUUAAAUAUACAGAUAAUUUCAUUCAUUUUUUCUAAGAUUGGAGUUAAAUUUACCCAUCCAUACUUAACUUGAAAUUUUCUUAAAUAUCUGUUUUUUUUUCAUUUUUUUUACACGUAUAUCUUUUAAUUUAAAAUAAAAAAUAUUUAAUAAAAUUUCAAAAUAAUAGUUGUCAGACAUAUUUAUGUGACAUUUUCGAAGAGGUGAAUGAAACUAAACUUUUCUUUAAAUAUAAAAUCAUAAAAAUUUAAUAUAUGCAAGCAUGAUCCGGUCUAAAUAUGAUAUAUAAUUUGUGUCAUUUCAAAAAAUCACAGAAGAUCCUUUUGGCAAAGUGGCCCCCCAUUUGAGUUGUAUUCCGUAAUUGGUCACCACAUGUUAUAUCAUUUCAAAGAUUAUGGAGGAUCAUGUUGCCAAUCAUUAUCAGAAGAAGUACAGCUUCCUCUAUAAAACUAAUCAAUACGAUAUUUAGCACAUGCAAACAAAUUUGGAAGGAUCUGAAAGUCAAGUCUACGGGCCACCCCUUUACGACUUGUUCGAAAAAGCACAAAUCAAUGGUGGUGCCACUUGCCAGCAGUCUGUUUCAAUAUCUAAAUGUUACCUCGGUAAGAUUGCUUGACAUACUUUUUGUCUCCUACUAUCUCAUGGAGAUCCAGAGUUGGUAAGAUAAGAAUAGCAUCCGAAGCUGCUGGUGCAUGGCCAAUAAUCGGUCACCUCCUCUUAGGUGGGUCACAACUUCCUGGGAUUUUUUAUAAAAUUACGGUAGAUUUAAAAUUAAUUUUUUUAAAAUGCAGCAUAUUAAUGCUUGACAGCUGACAGUUACCCUCGAUCGGAAAGACAAAUCCCUCGACUGGGAAGGAAAGGCUACUGAAAAAGAGAGAGUGUUUUUUGCACCUCUCGGUCGGACAUCAACAGGGAAGGGGGAACCGGUCGAUCGGUACCCUAGUCAGUUGAGCCUGUUUGGACAGAACCUUGACCGGUUCACAAUUUUUUACCCGAAAACCUUUUUUUUUUUUGGUCUUUUUGCUUCAAACACUUAGACAAUGUCUUCAGAUAAAAUUAUAUACCAAUUUUGAAACGUUUUGCCUAAGGUUCAUUUCAUAGAUCUCGGAUUUUGAUGAAAAUGUAACUUUAAAGCAUAAAUCGAGUUUUUCAAAGAUGCAUGAAAUAAUAUGUAAAUCCUAAGUGCAUCAAUGCAUUUAUCUUACAUAUGUUUCCUAUCAUUAAAGGUCUUUCCAAAAGUCUUGAUCUUGCAUCCAUUAGGUCAUUUGAUGAAUUUCCAAAUUAACACCUGAAAUUUUUUAUAAUUUAAACCAAUUAGUAACUUAACUAUGGUUUGUUAUCAUCAAAACAUGAUUAGGAGAACCCUUGGGCUAACAGAGACAUUACGGUUAUAUCCACCAGGACCACUUGGAGGACUAUGCCAAUUUAUUGAGGAUUGCACCUUGGGUGGAUACCAUGUCUCUAAAGGCACCCGUUUAAUAAUGAACCUUUCGAAGAUCCAAAAGGAUCCAAGAAUCUAGUUAGAUUCGAUAGAAUUCCAACCAGAGAGGUUUCUCAUCAACCAUAAGAAUGUUGAUCCUUAGGGAAAACAUUUUGAAUUUAUACCAUUUGGAGCUGGUCAAAGAGCAUGUCCAGGAAUAGCUUUUGCUCUUCAAAUAUUAUAUUUAACAUUAGCUAGUUUCUUACAUGCAUUUGACUUUUCAACUCCAUCAAAUGAACAGGUUGAUAUGCGAGAGAGCCUUGAACUUAUAAAUAUGAAAUCUAUCCCACUUGAAGUUUUCAUUUCUCAAAUCUACCCCACUUGAAAUCCUCAUUUCUCUACACUUAUCUUCUUGUAGUCUUUACAACUAAAGCAUUGAAAUGAAGAGGUCAAAGUUGACCUAGCUAAUCUUGGUUUAAAGACAUAUGGAGUUAGGUUCAAUCAAUCUAUAAUAAGAUUUGGGAUUUGUAUUAAAAGUAGGUUGGACUAAGAAUGAUGUACAAUAAACUAAAGUACUAUCCAUGCAAAUAAAGUAUAACAUUAUAUAUUAUUUGGUUAGCCUUUUGGAAUGUAACAUCAUAAUUAUUUCUUUGUUUUGUCUAAUUUAUCGCCAUUUUUUCCCUUUCUCUUAUUCCCUCAUCUUCAUCAAAACAAAUAAUAUGUAGUUUUUCUAUUUUUAAAAAUCAAAUUCGAUUCCCAAUUAUAUAAGAAUUUUACUAUUACUUUAUAAUAAACUUUACUUUAGUCUUAAUAACUUUGACCUGUAAAUAUGUUCUCCAUCCUUAAUUAAAUAUACGGAUAAUUUCAUUCAUUUUUUCUAAGAUUGAAGUUAAAUUUACCCAUCCAUACUUAACUUGAAAUUUUCUUAAAUAUCUAUUUUUUUUCCUUUUUUUUACACAUAUAUCUUUUAAUUUAAAAUAAAAAAUAUUUAAUAAAAUUUCAAAAUAAUAGUUGUCAGAUAUAUUUAUGUGAAAUUUUCGAUGAGGUGGAUGAAACUAAACUUUUCUUUAAAUAUAAAAUCAUAAAAAUUUAAUAUAUGCAAGCAUGAUCCGGUCUAAAUAUGAUAUAUAAUUUGUGUCAUUUCAAAAAAUCAUAGAAGAUCCUUUUGGCAAAGUGGCCCCACCUUUGAGUUGUAUUCUGUAAUUGGUCACCACAUAUUAUAUAAUUUCAACGAUUAUGGAGGAUCAUGUUGCCAAUCAUUAUCAGAAGAAGUGCAGCUUCCUCUAUAAAACUAAUCAUAUUUAGCACACGCAAACAAAUUUGGAAGGAUCUGAAAGUCAAGUCUACGGGCCACCCCUUUACGGCUUGUUCGAAAAAGCACAAAUCGAUGGUGGUGCCACUUGCCAGCAGUCUGUUUCAAUAUCUAAAUGUUACCUCGGUGAGACUGCUUGACAUACUUUUUGUCUCCUACUAUCUCAUGGAGAUCCAGAGCUGGUAAGAUAAGAAUAGCAUCCGAAGCUGCUGGUGCAUGGCCAAUAACCGGUCACCUCCUCUUAGGUGGGUCACAACUUCCUGGGAUUUUUUAUAAAAUUACGGUAGAUUUAAAUUUAAUUUUUUUAAAAUGCAGCAUAUUAAAAAAUAUCUUUGAAUAAUAAUAAUAAAAUGACAAAUAAUAAAAAGGAAAGAAAGUUGUCUUGUGGCUAUAAGAAAGAAUAAUAUAAAAGAGAGAGAAGAGGAGAGGCGGAUAGAGAGAAGAGUAGCAGGAAAAAAAAAAAAGAGAACAGGGAGGUGCAUGCUGCAAAUCUUUGGGUGUUCGUAUGACGAGCAAAACGAGUUAUGUUUUGCGUGAAAAUUAAGGUGAAAAUUUUCUUUGACAUGAGGAACAUUCUUUCAAAGUUUGAUUUUAAUUUCAAUGAUUGGAUUUUUUGAUUUGUGGUGAGGUAGUUUAAUCCUAUAACUUUUGUUUAAUAUUUUUUCUUAAAAAAAUAUUAUGGAUUUUAUUACUGGGAGAUAAAUAUGUGUUAUUUGUGUUUUCUUUAUGUUAUUUGAAAUAUGAUUAUUGUUAGGGUGGAUUAUUAUGAUUUUUUUUUUUUUUUAUGUUUGCAAUGAUUUAAUUGAAGAAAAAUUAUUGUGUUGAUUGUUGGAAAUUAUUCAAUAUAUUAAGAAUAAAUAAAAUUUAUAUGAUUAUGGUUUAGACUAUGUUUUGAUGAUAUAUAAAUUAUUGUGAUUUUUUUUGUGGUUAUUUAAUUGAAGAAAAAUUGUUGUGAUGUAAUUGGAAUUAUUGAUUAUGUUUGGAGUAAAUAAAAAUUAUGUCCUAUAAAAUUAUGGAUGAUAACAUGUAAGUUUAUUAUAUUUCAUAUAUGGUUAUAUGAAAAAAAAUGAUGAAAGAUUUUAUGAAAUGGAAAAAGGAAAAAAAAAGAAAAAAAAAAUGAUGAUGAAAAGUAAAAGCCCGUAAAAGACGAAUUAAGAAAGAAAUGAGAUUUCUAGUAUGAAAACUACAAAAAUUUAUCUUAUGAAAACUCUAAAUGGGGAGUGUAUUUGGUACAGAUGCAUAUCAUUAAGUGAAAACCCAAAAACAAUAGUUUGUUACUUUACUGAAUGUAAACAUUUGCAUCAUGUUUUUAUUUGGAAGAAUGACAUGUAUUAAUUACUUGAAUGACGUCAAUGGUAUGUUUGGAUAUAUUAUUAGAGAUUGAAAUGAUUUAUUUAUUUUGUAAAUUUAGAAUUGUUUGAUAUGUUAUUUAUAUAAUUGAAUAAGAAAUGUGAUAAUUUUGAUUAGUUUAAUUUUAUAUGGUUGAUUUUUUAUUUAAUGACUAUAAUGCAUUGUUUUGAAAAUUGGAUCGGACCAACCGGUUCAAUCGCCAACUGGUGAUCUUUCCGGUUCCAUCCUCUCCUUUAAACCGCUAGAUGGUUGAACCGACCACAAACCACUAUUGGCAGUUGGACCGAUGAACCGCUUGGACCAGGUGGUUUUUCAUGAACUGCAUGGCUCAAUUCCAGCCCAGUCUUCCCCCCAUUUUUUCUUUCAUCCAAAUAGUCCAACCUUCCCCUCCUCUUUUUCAUAGGGUCCAAGUGAAAGCCCAAUAAGCCCAGCCUUACAUCUUAAUGGUCUUUAGGCAAAACCUAAACCCAUUUAAACCCCUCAAUGGGUUGUACCUUUGAACCCAUUAGUUACACAAAUAGCUUGAAUGAACUGUGUUUUACGCGCAUAUUCACAUCCACAUCCAUGUGGGAUUGCUGCUAUUUUAAGUCUAAAGAAAAAGCAACGCCACUUAGCUACAACACAAUUUGAUGCAAGUCUAGAAAAUAAAAAAAUCAGCAUGUGUUUCAAAAAAGAUUAAUAAUAUUAAAUAAAAUAAUAUAAUAUUUUCUGAAAUUAUAAAAUUAGUUAAAGUUAAAUAAUUAAAUUUUUACAUAUUCCAUUUAAUAAAGUUCAAAAUAUUAAUAUAUUUAUAUUUAUAUUUUGAUAAUAUCAAAGAUAAAAAAUAAAUAUUUUUAAUUUUUUAAUUUAUAUAAUAUUAUAUUUUGACAUAUAAUUGUUUUCUAUUGACUUAAAUUUUUUAAUUCAUUUGGGUGUAAAACACCUUACAAAACAAUGUGAAAAUGUUCACCCCUUUAUUUUUAUAAAAUUUUUAGAUACAAAUAUAGUUUAUAAGGAACCAUAAGAAAAUCAAGAAGUGUUCCAAAAAGCCUUAACAAAUAAAAGAAAAAUAAUAAUAAUAAUUUUUAAUUUAUAUUACCUUUUUGACAUGUACUAAUUUGAGUUAUAUGAAUUUUUGUAACUUAAAUUAUAUUUUGUUAUUUUGUAAAAUAUUUUUGGAAAUAUUUUUUACUUAGAUUUAUGUAGAUAUUUGGGUUAAUUUGGGAUUAAAUAUUGAUCUAUUCACUGUCAAAUUGGAUAGGAAUAAACUUUAAGGUCAACCCUUUGACCUGAUAUCACUAGUCGGAUUCUGAGUUGCCUUGGGUGUGACUAUAAUGGAUUUUCUUCUCCAAUGCCUAAACCCUGUCAUGGUUGGAGCGUUUGCAAUACUCGUCCUCUCAUACCACCUGUUAUUAUGGAGGUCUGGAGCUGGUAAGAGCAGAAUGGCACCUGAAGCUUCUGGUGCAUGGCCCAUAAUAGGCCACCUGCACCUGUUAGGUGGAUCUAAGAAUUUGCCUCACUUACUUUUUGGAACCAUGGCCGACAAGUAUGGACCAGUAUUCAGCAUCCGGCUGGGAUUAAAAAGAGCUGUGGUUGUGAGUAGUUGGGAAAUGGCCAAAGAAUGCUUCACCACCCAUGACCUGGCUCUGGCCUCCCGUCCUGAGCUUGUGGCCGCCAAAUAUUUGGGAUAUAACUAUGCCAUGUUUGGUUUAUCUCCUCACGGUGCAUACUGGCGUGAAGUGCGUAAGAUAGCCACUCUAGAGCUACUCUCGAACCGCCGGCUAGAGUUGCUGAAGAAUGUCCGAAUCUCAGAGGUGGAGACAUGCAUGAAGGAACUAUACGAGCUUUGGGCAAAGAAGAAAAGCGAAGCAGGCGUUGUUUUGGUGGACAUGAAGCAAUGGUUUGGGCACUUGUCUCUGAACGUGAUUCUUAAGAUGGUUGUUGGAAAACGAUAUUUCGGUUAUGCAGCCGAAAGUAAAGAGAAAGAGGCCCAGCAGUUCCAGAAGGCGAUUAGGGAAUUCUUUCGUUUGAUGGGACUCUUUGUGGUGUCGGAUGCCAUUCCUUUUCUUGGAUGGCUUGACGUGGGUGGACAUGUGAAAGCCAUGAAGAAGACUGCAAAAGAAUUGGACGGUAUUACUCAGGAAUGGUUAGAGGAACACCGACGGCGAAAAGAUUCGGGUGAAGCUGAUGGUGACCAGGACUUCAUGGACGUGAUGCUGUCCAUUCUGGGUGGUAGAGACACUACUGAUUAUGAUGCUGAUACCAUCAACAAAGCUACAUCCCUGGUAUGCACAUUAUUCCUUUAGCAUCUUUAUAUGGUAGUAAAAAAUGAGACAUAAUUUCAUGCUUUAUCAUCUUUAGUCCAGACUCAAGAGUACUUGGGCCUGGGUUGGAAGAACUUCUUAUUUUUGCUUAGUUUCAAGUUGAAACUAAUCAAAAGCAGCGAUUUUUAAAAGGUAAUUAUAAUAGUGGUGUUAUUAAAGGUCAAACAUAAAUAACUUUUUGCAUAAAUCAAAAUAGAGUUUAUAUAUAUAUAUAUAUAUAAAAUAUUUUUCUGAUCUUCAUAUUAAUUUUUCUAAGUCAUAACUUUUUUGAACAAAAUUAGUCAAACCAUAGAACUCUUGAACUUACAGAAAAGGGCUUUCGAUUUCUUAGAAAUAGAUACAUGAAGAGUUUUGUUAUAUGUUUGUUUUUGUCAAAAGAGUAACAUGAGCAGCUUAGACAAGCAAUUAGAAUGAAAUACAACUGGGCUGAGAAGCUGAGUAGAACUAGAAUUAUGUACAACCUCUUGCUAGGAUAAUUGGGUUGGACUUGUAAUGAUAGAGUUCUCCGUUGGAGUUAGGUGGCCCAAAAAGAUUGUGCUGUUUGAAUAGCUGGUCCUCUAAUUUAGGAAGAGGCAGCCGAAUUUGCAACGCUGGGUGGCUGGGCCCAUAGAAAAUAUUCUUGUCAGAAGAUUGUGAAAGUAUGUUCCUUAGUCCGCAAGGUUUGAGGCCUCUUUGAGUGGGCUUCUAGAGUCGGUUAGACAAUUGGGCCUUUCAAAGGAUUUCCUAAAUUUACAAUUUUUUUAGCCCAACAUGAAUUUUUAUAAAAUGCUAUAUUUAUACGUGAGUUUCAUAUUCAAGCUAAACAUACCCAUUUUGAUUGGAAAAAAAGGGAAAGAACAUGGGGCCUUUUUUCCACCCUUAAUCUUAUCACUACUUUUAAUUUUAUUUUAUUAGUUAAUGGUUUGUAUUUCACAGGUUAUGAUUGGAGGAGGCGCUGACACUACAUCUGGUACUUUAACAUGGGCAGUCUCACUUUUAUUGAACAAUCCACACAUAUUAAGAAAAGCUCAAGAAGAAUUGGAUGCUCAUGUUGGUAAAGAAAGACUAGUAAAUGAAAUGGAUAUAAGCAAGUUGGUUUACCUUCAAGCAAUUGUUAAAGAGACAUUGAGGUUAAAUCCAAUAGCCCCACUUUCAGGACCGCGUCAAUUCAUCCAAGAUUCUAUUUUAGGUGGUUACCAUAUCUCAAAAGGCACUCGUCUUAUAUUGAACCUUACCAAGAUUCAAAGAGACCCGAGAGUAUGGUUGAACCCAAUGGAGUUCCAACCAGAUAGAUUCCUCACCACCCACAAAGAUGUUGAUGUUAGAGGUAAACAUUUUGAGUUGACACCAUUUGGUGGUGGAAGAAGAAUUUGCCCUGGAAUAGUUUUUGCCCUUCAAGUGCUACACUUAACAUUAGCCAACUUCCUGCAUAGAUUUCAACUUUCAACUCCAUCAGAUGCACCGGUUGAUAUGAGCGAGGGUUUUGGAUUAACAAACAUCAAAUCCACUCCACUUGAAGUUCUUAUCUCCCCACGCUUAGCUUCUUAUGAUCUUUAUGAGUAGAAUUUGAGGUCGCUAAGAGACUUAUUUCAAAAAACCUAGUACUAUGAAAUGUGAAAUAAAAAUAAAUUUCAUAGCAUAAGUUUAGUAUUAUUUUAAAAUAGUUACUAAUGUCUGUCCUUUAAUAUUGUCUUAGCUUGAAUUUAAUGAAAAAUAUUUUCGACACUUAUUUUGUGUGGACAAGUAAUGACCCAAUUUCUUGUUAUGUUUCUUCAUUCUUCCAUGAAAGAGAAUUUAGAAGAAAAAGUGGCAUAUAGCAUUACAAUUGAAAAAUUAAUAAGCAUGUACUCCAUAUGCAUAGUAGACUUAAUGAGUUUCCAAGUUGAUUAAUUGGUAUCUCCUUUUGAUAGAUUUCAGCCACCUUUUUGUACAUGAUUAAAGUAGUAAUGGAGACUAAAAUUACAACUCCCAUUUCAUUGUAAAAAGUUGGGAUGUGCAAGGUGGGUCAGUUCAAUUUUGGGCAUUAAAAUCAAAUCGAAUUGAACCCAAAAGAGGAAAAUGAUUAGUUUGACUUGAUUAACAAUAAUCUAAGUUGGUUUAUUUUGCUUCUAUUUAUAACAUCAAUUUUUUUUUUUAAUUUGAACGAAAAUAAUAUUAUUGAAGCAAGUCAUCUUUGGACGGUUGAAAUGAUAUUAUUACAACUAAUUUCAAAUCAUAUUAUUAUAACUUAAUGAUGUGAAUAGGUAUUAUUGUAACCCAUGUCAAUCAUAUCAAAUAGUCCAAGUCAUAGAUAAAAGUUAUAAAGGUGUGAUUGGGAGUUCCAUCCAAUGUGAAAAAUGUAUACCCAAUUAAUGAUGUAACCAAUUGUUAUACUGUAUAUUAUUACUGUGUGUAUAACUUUCAAUUCAAUUCAGUUUGGUUCAUUAAUUUUUUUAAUAGGUAAUUGAAUUGGUAUAACUUGGUUUUAUAUUUAAAAAACCAAAUUUAUUAAAAAAUAAAAUCUUAAAAAAUUAAUAGAUUUGGGUCAAUUUCAUUGAUUUUGCCAAUUGUACACCCUAAAAGAAGGGAUGUCCACUUAUCAUCCAUAAACUUUGUGUACUCCUAAGUUACAAUUUUGCCCCAUGUGAUUCACAUUUGUACUUAUUAUACUCAAUUUUCCGUACAAAUGAUUUAUUAUUUUGCAGAAUUUUACUCCAUGAGAUUCACAUUUGUACUUAUUAUUACCAACUUUGUCUGCUCUUAAGUUACAAUUUCUCCUAAUUAGAUUCACAUGCGUUACUGCCAUAAUUGACUUUCCACAUUUAUGCAUGAAUUAUUAUGUCAAUAGAUGCAUUAUCAUUUUGUCAAGUUAAUCUGACUUAGGUUAAUCACCAAAGGCAAGGUGAAUUAAUUGACUCAAUUUUAAUAAAUUUUAAUUUAACUAAGUGCAAGUAAUAAUAAUAAAACAGUUAAAAAAUACAUAAUUAAAUAACUAAAAAGAAGAGAUAACAGGUACAAACUCCGAUUUAUAUUUUGCUCAAUCCCAUACUCUCCUCAAGCUCUCAAAUGCAAAUUGAGGGUUCCACUAGCUUUUAAGACUUCAAUCAAAUCUUAAUCCUUUACACUUGGAUUCUCAAUUUCAAUGAUCUUUUUACACUUUAAUUCAAGAAAUUCCUCACUCUUGAACAUACUCAAAGGUAACACUUGAACAACAUUGAUCUCACAAAAUUUUAUUUACAAAUAAUAUAAAUGAAAACUUAAAUGGUUUUUCUUGGCUAGGAUUUCUAAGUUAAUAAGGAUUUUUGCAUUAAAAAGAAAUAGUUAAAAUCAAUUGGGUUUUGUAAGAUUUUGAUAUAUAUCUUAGUUUGCGAGUUUUUUGGGAUUCUAUUAUAAUCUUAUUGUUUUAUCCUAAAAUUGUCAAAAAAAGAAAUCAGUAAUUUAGUAUGGCAAUUUUACUCCAAAGAUUAUUGAUUAAAAAUUAUUUUACUAAUACCAACGUGUAAGAGUUAAAGGCAUAAAAUUGAAAUUAAAGUAAGUUUAUUAUUUUGGAUUUGGUUAAGUAAUGACAAGAUUAAUAAUUGAAAUUAAUGUAAAAAGAAGUGUAAAAACUUUAAAAGUUUAAAAUAUCAUUUCAUUAUUAAUUAGUUUCCACUUGCCAACAUAGACUUCUCAUUCUAUUCAAACAAGUUUUUUGUACUUUUAUAUAUAUAUAUAUAUAUAUUUCAUAAACUUAACAAAGGAUACAAACAACAAAAGAAAAAAAAAAUUGAGCUACUAAACCUCAAUAUAAAUUUGGGGUGAAUUAUCAAGGUCUAUUAAGGAGCAUGGGGAAGUGUUGUAUCACAUAUCGAUGUGAAGAAGGUGUAUAUAUAUUUAUAGUAUAGGACCUAAGAUGUGAACGUUUCUUUUAAAGUUAGGUAAACAUUUCUUUCAAAAUUAAUGGAAUCUCACUAUGAUUUAUAUACACAUGCUUUCAGUGUCCAUAGAGGUUGAAAUAAUACGAUGAUUUUUAACUUAUAUCUUGCUUUUUAUAUGUGAUUUAAUAUUGUUUUGGAUUAUUGAUUAUGACUCAUGAAUUAUCAUGCAUGGAACUAAUCAAAAUGAUAUAAUUAAAUUAUAUUAAUGAAUUUGAGAUAGACAUGACAAUUAUUAAUUUAAAAUAUCUUAUAUGAACAUAAAAUUUUAAAUAUAGACUCAUAAUUUAUAUAUAUUAAUAUAAUAAAGUUGAAAAACUACGUUUAUCUCAAAUUUAUGCCUAGGGCCCAAAUUUUGCUGAGAGCCAGCCGGAUGUCAUCACAUGCAAGAAAGCUAGGAAACAAAGCUAAAGUUUGCUUCUUGUGUGGGAAGAGGUACUUCCGUGCUUGACUGAAAGAAAGGAUUUUCUACAAGAAAAAUUGUCCCCUUGUUUGUAAAGCCUCAAGUUGCGACAGCAAUAACGACAAAAGUAGGCCAAAGAAUUUGUCAUUAUUAUGAGACUAGAGAGGUUUUACUGAGAAGUUUUCCGAGCGUGAUAUCAGCAUUCGCUGUAUCACAGUGAUACAACAAAUGGUUUGAACACAGUGAUCUAGAACCCAUUAGCUCAAAUUUCAUUGAUCUGAACACGAUGAUCCUCAUCCGCAGACCAUUUUAGGGAAUGAUUAAUUCGAGCGAUUUUUUAACUGCCUGUACGAAGAACUUUAUCAAAAUUGGAUUCAGUGUAUCUUAACCAAUCUUGAUCAGUAUGCGACUGAUGAUUCUAUUUGAUAAAAGUAAUGCGGUGGCCCAACUUUAUCUUAAUUUCUAUGUUGAAAGUAACCAUAUAUUAUUCUAUAAUUAUAAAUAUAUACUGUGGAAUCAAGAUAACUUUGAUAUGCUAAGGAUCAAAAGAGGGCAGCCACUUUAGUAGUGGAUUAUACUAAAUAAAGCUGAUCGAUUAUUACAUUGGAAAAUAACAUUGAACCUAUCAUGAAAGACAACCCUACUGGACCAUGCCCCGAGUACUAAAUGCUGAUAAAAAACAAGUACAUGUUCCAAAGGAAUUGAGUCCAUAUAUACACAUUAGUGCUCAAAGAGAAAAACUAUAUAUCCACCGCUUAACUACAGUGAUCCUUUGAGCAGAAGAAGCUAGCCAUGUAUUUCCUUCUCCAAUACCUAAACAUCACCACGGUCGGAGUCUUUGCCACACUUUUCCUUUCCUACUGUCUAUUAUUAUGGAGGUCUAGAGCUGGUAACAAAAAAAUAGCACCUGAAGCUGCUGCUGCAUGGCCCAUAAUCGGUCACCUACACCUGUUAGCUGGUGGUUCUCAUCAGCUUCCCCACAUAACCUUGGGAAACAUGGCCGACAAAUAUGGACCGGUCUUCACAAUUCGGAUUGGGUUGCAUCGAGCUUUGGUGGUAAGUUCUUGGGAGAUGGCUAAAGAAUGCUCGACCGCCAAUGACCAGGUUUCAUCCUCGCGUCCCGAACUUUUAGCCUCAAAACAUUUGGGCUACAACUACGCCAUGUUUGGUUUCUCUCCAUACGGUUCUUACUGGCGUGAAAUGCGCAAGAUAAUCAGCCUAGAGCUACUCUCUAACAGCCGCUUAGAGCUGCUGAAGGACGUCCGAGCUUCAGAAGUGGUGACAUCCAUAAAAGAGCUAUACAAGCUCUGGGCAGAGAAAAAAAAUGAAUCGGGCCUUGUCUCUGUGGAGAUGAAGCAGUGGUUUGGAGACUUGACUCUGAACGUAAUUCUUAGGAUGGUGGCAGGGAAGCGUUAUUUCAGUGCUUCAGAUGCAAGUGAAAAUAAACAGGCGCAGAGGUGCCGGAGAGUGUUCAGGGAAUUCUUUCAUUUGUCAGGGCUCUUUGCGGUGGCGGACGCUAUUCCAUUUCUUGGAUGGCUCGACUGGGGGAGACAUGAGAAAACCCUAAAGAAGACAGCAAUAGAAAUGGACAGUAUUGCUCAAGAAUGGUUAGAGGAGCACCGUCGGAGGAAAGACUCCGGUGAUGAUAAUAGUACGCAAGACUUCAUGGAUGUGAUGCAGUCAGUUCUUGAUGGCAAAAACCUUGGUGGUUACGACGCUGAUACCAUCAAUAAAGCCACAUGCAUGCCUGGUAUGAGUUAUUAAUGAAGCACCCACGUACCAUUUAUAUUUGCAUAUUAUCAGGGCUAGCUUCUUUUCCACAGACAGUUUUUCUUUUGUUUAUAUGUUUUAAUUGAUGCAUAUUCACUUUCUUCUUCUCUUAAUUAAAUUGCAAUAAUUAAACAUACAAUUUAAAUAAAUUUUAAAUUUUAUUUUUAACUAAAAACAAAAGUAUACAUAUACAAAUAUAUAUUGCUUAAGCAAUUAAUUUUUAAAAAUUAUUCUUUCAGAACACCUUAGACAAGUUGAGACAUGCUUCGAGGGAAAUCUAAAUAUAAUGAUUUUAAAAGCUACUUUGUAAUUUUAUUUUCGAGCAUGUUGCAUAAUAUAUGCUUUCCUUGAAUUGAUUUUCUAAAUUUUAUUUUUGUCAGCAAGAAAGGGUUAUCUACGUUUUGGAAGUUAUCUUUAAUUUCCCCUGCAAAGAAUAAGUGUGUGGACCCUGCAUUUCGGCUCAAUGCGUUUCCCACUCGAUGGCGAGCUCGAUUUUUAUUUGAAAAAUGAUUUUUAUUGAUUAUUUAGAAAAUGACUUGGAGUCGCCACUUAUUUUUGUUUUAUUUUUAAAGGGUAAACAAAAUAAGAAAGAAAAACCCUAAGUGUGACUCCUUAUUUUGGAAAAGGUGGUCUGUGAAAAACUGAAUCGGGUUCAGGGGUCAGGUUACUUAUUGGGAAGGUACGGUAUGGACCGUAGCACCCCUCUAAGUCCCUAAAGUCGGGUCUCUACUAAUGAGAUGAAGCUGACAUGGCAAUCAAUGAGAAAAUCAAUGAAUACUCGAAUCAAUCAUGCACAUAUGAGAGACAAAGCAUGUAUAAAGAAUGAGCAAAAUAUGAAUAGAUGCGUACCUGGGCGACAAUCACGAAUGCGCUAUCAUGAAACAUGGUUAGUGAACAAUAAACAUAUAUAAUUAAGCGCAUAUCAAGGAAUAGAGUAAAUCAAUCAUGCAUGACAAAUAAAUCAAUCAAUCAUGGAAUCUCAUAUGUAGGGCCCCCACCAAAACCCAAUUCAUUUUUGCAUGAAUCAAUUCCAUAAAUUCCAUCACUUGGAAUUACGGAAUUUAAUUCUUACUUAUUUUUAAAACAUUUUAAAAACCAAGAAAAUGCACAAGUGGCUUGCCGGAAGGAAAAUGGCAACCAAAUUUUAUUGAAAAUGGGAUUUAAGAAGAUUAUUUUCAAGAAAACAGGGGAUGAGAGAAUAGAAGGAAAUGGCACAUGGUCAAGAGCUGCAUGCCUAAGGUGGCCAUGCAAAAACACUUCCCUCUAAGCUCAGGGUGGAGGGACUGCACUAUAAGGAUCAGUGGUGCUGCAGAGCUUGUCAGAACAGCUGAUGGCAUCAUAGGUGUUGCUCCUGAUUGCCUGAAAGAAUUCAUCUCUAAUGGACGGAAUCGAUUGCUCUACAUGAUUAUUCCAGAAGGUAAUGGUUGAGUCCUUAGCUUCACGAACCCAAUUUUUUAUGUCAUUACUUCCCAUCAAACUACCAUGACAUAGGAGCCACACUGAGCAAACUGAUGAGCCCGCUGCCCCACAUGUAUAGGGAAUCCAGUACAAAGUUAAUUUCCGCGGUUUACGAUGUUCGGAAACAAGGAUACUUAGGUAAGAAUCCAGCUUAUACAUGAUAAAUCACGNNNNNNNNNNNNNNNNNNNNNNNNNNNNNNNNNNNNNNNNNNNNNNNNNNNNNNNNNNNNNNNNNNNNNNNNNNNNNNNNNNNNNNNNNNNNNNNNNNNNGUGGAUGCCGCCUAUGAUACUAGCCUCAGAAAUCAUGCCAUUGACAUCGUUGUGCUUGUUACUAUUGCCAUCUCUAUCUCACAUGUGAGAGCCCUUGAUGGAAUCAAUUAAAAUAAUCCUUGAUAGAAACGUGGACUUCAUGUCUCAAAUCUGGCCUUUCAUAUCUCCUCAUUUGUCCAUGUCAACUAUUGUCACCAAGCCAUAAGCCUCUUGAUCCCAUGAUAACCCCAUUAUUCAACCCAAUACUUCAAUGAUGAUUCUCUUUCAUUUGCAUUCCUGACCUUCUCUUAUCUCCAUUACUGAUCCCAUGGAUGUUUACAGGAUUGAGUAUUUGGACGAGAGCAAACUUUGAUUAGAACCCUGUAUCAUGUUGAGUCUCUGCCAGCCUGGAAGGAUAAAAAUCACGUUGCCCCAUAUGGUGAGUUUUACUUUGAUUUACUCUUCCUCCUUGAUUCGUAUAAUGCAAGAAGGACAGGAGUUAAAAUGUCACGGAUAGCAUGAUGGCAAUGCCCAAAAGUAGCGUCAGUGUACAUUUGAGUCAAACGCGACUCCAUAUCAAACAUUGGCGGCCAGCGUCCAAGUCAAAGGGACGUAGUGCCCAUAAUUCACUGUUGAUAUUCUUCUUUCUGGGGAUGGAACAGAUCCAACUUCAAGGAUUGGGUGAGUCUCCUAAGAACUUUUCAUAAGGAUGGAUGACUGCCCAACAAUGCACUCAGGUUCCAUCAUUGCAAAGCCUCAACAGACUGCAUGCACCAUUCGUCGCGUACCUCACGACAAAUGUGAGUCUGGUUAAUCCCGUAGGAGGACUCCAAGCAGCAUGCAUAACGUACCUCUUCGGAAUAUCACAACGAGACCCACUGGUGCCCUCGUCUGAAUACCCCUCCGCCUCUCAUUCAAGUAAUGGGUGUUGGACCCAUGUAUGCAUGCAAAGAUGGAGGAGUGAAGUGGUGAGAGAAAGGAUGUAUGGAUUUAGCUGCGAGUAAGGUCACGGGUAUGGGAGGAUGGAUGCGGUGAAGACCUUUGAGGGUGAUGAAAAAUGGUGCAUGGAGUAAGAUAGGCUAAAGUGGAAAUGCGUGGUAGAAUGGGCAUAGGAGUAUCAUGAGAGAAGUGUGCAGGGACUACAUGCAUGUGGGUGGCUAGGGAAGUAAAAGAUGGGUUCAACAGUGAAACGUAUGGGAAUGAUGAGAGGGAAAGCGGAUUAGCAGAUGGGGUUAAUGAGUGAUAUGAAGAAUGGGGUAUGAGACCUGGGUAUAAGGUGAAAUGAAUAUGACAUGGUUAUGCAUGGCCAUGCCAUGGCCAUGCAAGAACAUGAUGGAAAGGGAGUGACGGAUGUAUGAAUAAUGGAGAGCAUGAGGAGGUAUGGGAUAGAUGAACAGGGCUGGAUGGUGGAUGAUGAAUAAGUAAUGGUGAAAUGGGUAUGAAAGAGUUUGAAGAGAGAGAAAAGGUGGUAAUGUGGAAUGGGUUUGAUAGGUGGGAGUACAAAGUGGGUAUGAAGAUGGGUAUGAAUGGUUUAGUAGGUACGAGACAAAUGGGUUAGAUGGAGGGUAUAAUGGGUGAUGUAAUGAUGGAAACCCGGGCGUUUAUUCAUCUUUGGAGGCACGAUACCCGGGUCAUGAACAGAUGGAUCACACUUCUUGGCCAGCUGCAUUCAGGCCAUAGUCAAUACAACCGACUUCGCUACCUCCAUUUCCAGGCACAGUGAUUGACACAAAGGAAGGUAACUUCCCAAUAAUCAAGCUUCUUUCGAUACAAGGUCUGCAUGGCUUAGCCGAGUUCAGUUUAGUUGGGUGUCGAAUCCCAUUGGUCAGUAGACCCAUUUGGAGCGAAACUGAACCCUUUAAUCCAAAUGGACCGUUACAGAGAGCACAAAGCAGCAGUAGGAUUAGCAAGACCCAGAGCAUAAGAGCGGGCUGUGACCAUGGCAGAGAUUCCAAAUUAGAAAGCAAGCACAAAACCAUCCAUGGAAGAGGUUAUCCAAGGUUUUGGAUGCUUAUGAAGUUUUCCCGCAAGUUGAACGAAUCUGUAACAGAGUGCCUUCUGAUCUAACCUGCAUAGUUUCAACAUGUACCACACCAUCCCCAUUCACGGUACCUCCAAUCACUAUGUCACCCUUCUUUCUUCGCCAUAGGCCUAGCAUCCUCUGUGAGCAUGUUCUUGAACCCACAAUCUCCCGCUUUACCUCAUGGAAACAUGUCAACCAAAAUAGCCCACCCAUCAAGUGACUGAUUCAACUCUGAUACCCGACAUCUCAGAUGCACCAACAACAGAAGCACAAAAGGGUAGGAAAUGGGGCCAAAACAGAAAAGAACGAAGGAAGGAUAAACGAGGAAUAAAGUAAAACAUAAGUGUAUAGAGCCUCAUUUCAGGUGACAUCCAUGGGCUUAUACAAGUGAGGAGAUCUCAAGUUAGAGUUACAGAAUAUAUGAGGAACCGAGUUCUAUUAACUCCAAGCCAAACCACAAGAACAGCAGUAAAAUCAACAACAAUAGAGUAUAAAAACGAUCCAGAAAUCAACAAAAUUCAGUACGUAUGACCCAACUCAAAUUGAUGAGCAAUGCAGAGCAAACCAAAAUGAGAAAAGGGUGAGAAAAAUAUGAAUCAAAGUAAGCAAGAAACUCACCUCAAACUCACCUGCAGACGCUCCUCUCUCUAUUCCUUCAUUCUCUAAGCUUCAGCUAGCCAAAAACAACGCCCAGAAUCUCCGUCACACAGCCACCCAAAACCUCCUCCUCUGCAGCCUCGAACCUCUCUGCCAACAAACAGCAACCAAAAGCACCUCCCCCUCUCGGAAACUUCUUUCUCCCUAAAAAAAAACUCUCAGACCAGCCUCUCUAAAGCUCCCCCUCUCUCAAGUUCACCGUCCAAAAUUACUCCUCUCAUGGAAAAACUCCCUGGAAUCCCCUCAGCAGCCCCGGUACCUCCAGCUAAAAGAAAAUCACCCCCCCCGGUUCUCAUGUCUCUCUCACCUUUUUUUCUCUCUAGCCAAAACCAGCUUUCUUUUCCUCCCUUUGGAAAUAUCUCCCUAACGGCCAGACGACACCCACCUGCCUUGCAGCUGCAAGCCUCCACUCCCCCCUAUGCAGCUGGCAGCCUCCCAAAAUCAACCCAACAAAAGCUCUUCCCCUAAAGAUUUCUGCCACCUUCCUCUUCUAGGCAAUAUCUCUUUUCUGUCCCGGAUUUGCCCCUCCAACAAUCCCUGUAGCCACCUCCAGCACCACUACACUCUGCAUGCAACUGGCAACACCUCCUAACGGAAAGCACGCUCCCUUCUUCUAGAAUGUUCUUCACUUUCCAGGUGUCUUCCUCUUAUUAGUCCAUCAAUUCCACCAUAGUGAUUCCACUAGUAGCCAACCCGAGAGUGACACGUGGCCAUGCGAGAUGGUGACACUUGUCCAGCAUCAGCUGCAAGAAUGACUCCCAAAAUGGGGGUCUACAACUAUGCCCAUUUUCGGUAGAGUUCACAAGUGUAAGGAAAAUGAACACUGGAAUGAAAGGUAGGUGUGAAUAGUGAGUGGAAUGAAGUGAACUCUACCGAAGAACCAAGGAGACCCCCAUAGGGACACUAGCAAAACACGAAUUCGCUCAGGCUGACAGACUGACACAAAGGCUCUGAUCCUAAAACAAAAUGAUGUCUCAAAAUGCCUCUGAGGCCAUACUAAGGAUCCAAGCUCCCUUUAACAUGCCUCCAAAAGUGACCCGAAGAUCGAUGUCAAAAGUGAGUAACGGUCGAACCACCCUGGAGUACGAACAAGAAUGCGUCUAAAGGAGACUGCCCUAUGUGGACUAUGAGAUGAAUAGGUGAUAAGCACAGGGUAACGAGGUGAGAAGAGUGAGAAUAAGUGCAAAUCCAUGAAGGUGAGAUGCGCAAUGCCAGUGAAUAUGAACGCUAGGGGCUGCGACUCUGAAUGACGAGACUGACCCUAAACGCUAAACUGAGAAAAACAAUGGCUCUGGAAGCCAGACCAAAAACUAACUCUAAAAACUAAACUAGAAUAACAGCUCUGGAAGUCAACCAAAAACUAACUCUAAAAGCUAAACUAGAAAACAACAGCUCUGGAAGCCAACCAAAAACUAACUCUAAAAACUAAACUAGAAAAUAACAGCUCUGGAAGCCAACCAAAAACUAACCCUAAAAGCUAAACUAGAAAACAAACAGCUCUGGAAGCCAACCAAAAACUAACUCUAAACUAGAAAAUAAUAGCUCUGGAAGCCAAACUGAAAACUAACUCUAAAAGCUAAACUAGAAAACAACAGCUCUGGAAGCCAAACCAAAAACUAACUCUAAAAACUAAACUAGAAAAUAACAGCUCUGGAAGCCAACCAAAAACUAACCCUAAAAGCUAAACUAGAAAGUAACAAACAGCUCUGGAAGCCAACCAAAAAACUAACUCUAAAAACUAAACUAGAAAAUAACAGCUCUGGAAGCCUAAACAAGUCGACAGUAACGACUCUGGAAGCCUAAACAAGAUGAUAGUAAUGGCUUUGGAAGCCUAAACAAGAUGACGGUAACGACUCUGGAAGCCUAAACAAGAUGAUAGUAAUGGCUCUGGAAGCCUAAAUAAGAUGACGGUAAUGGCUCGGAAGCCUAAACAAGAUGACAGUAACGACUCUGGAAGCCUAAACAAGAUGAUAGUAAUGGCUCUGGAAGCAUAAACAAGAUGACAGUAAUGACUCUGGAAGCAUAAACAAGAUGACAGUAAUGGCUCUGGAAGCAUAAACAAGAUGACAGUAACGACUCUGGAAGCCUAAACAAGAUGAUAGUAAUGGCUCUAGAAGCCUAAACAAGAUGAUAGUAAUGACUCUAGAAGCCUAAACAAGAUGAUAGUAACGACUCUGGACGUCGAAACUAAAAAGUGAUGAUGAUGACUCUGAACGUCAAACUGAGAAGUGAUAACGACUCUGAACGCCAAAACCGAGGAUGCGACUCUGAAUGUCGAUCUGAAAACCGAUGAUGGCUCUGAACGCCUAAACUGAGAAAUGAUGAUGAUGACUCUGAACGUCAAACUGAGAAGUGAUAACGACUCUGAACGCCGAAACCGAGGAUGCGACUCUGAAUGUCGAUCUGAAAACCGAUGAUGGCUCUGAACGCCGAAACUGAGAAGUGAUGAUGAUGACUCUGAACGUCAAACUGAGAAGUGAUAACGACUCUGAACGCCGAAACUGAGGACGCGACUCUGAAUGUCGAUCUGAAAACCGAUGAUGGCUCUGCACGCCGUAACUGAGAAGUGAUGAUGAUGACUCUGAACGUCAAACUGAGAAGCAAUGAUGAUGACUCUGAACGUCAAACUGAGAAAGUGAUAACGACUCUGAACGCCGAAACCGAGGAUGCGACUCUGAAUGUCGAUCUGAAAACCGAUGAUGGCUCUGCACGCCGUAACUAAGAAGUGAUGAUGAUGACUCUGAACGUCAAACUGAGAAGCAAUGAUGAUGACUCUGAACGUCAAACUGAGAAAGUGAUAACGACUCUGAACGCCGAAAUCGAGGAUGCGACUCUGAAUGUCGAUCUGAAAACCGAUGAUAGCUCUGAAUGCCGAAACUGAGAAGUGAUGAUGAUGACUCUGAACGUCAAACUGAGAAGUGGCUCUGAACGCCGAACUGAAAAAUGUGACAUGAUGACUCUGAAUGUCGUAAACCGUGAAUGAACGGCGACUCUGAACGCCAGACUGCAAGGAAACAAUGUGGGGGAAAUAUGCCCCAGUGUGACAUGCCGCUGCAAAUCUCAAACUGCUAGAAAUGGCUAAAAGGGACUCUACGAGUCUCGAAAGACGCACCACUAAGAGCUCAUGUCAAUGAAGAGCUCAGGAACAACGGUCAGUGAGGCGAAUACAAUAUAUCUCGGCCGAGUGAUGGAAACCGCGACGGACAUGUGAGAGAACGAUCGCCUCCAUGGCUAAAUGAGGGAAAUACGCCCCAGUAUGGCAUCAGAUGUACCCGAUCUGCCCUGAUGACCCGAGAAUAACACCAUGGGGAUGCAUAAAAGACCUGAUGUGUACCGCACUGAAAUGAUGACAUGGGGAUCCAAGCACUCGACAUAACCCCAUCCAGGAAUCACGACUAUAUCAAAGAGUAUGAAUCUGGCUGAACGAGUCAAGAGAGGCUCCUCGGAGUAUCAGGACAAAAUGAAAUCAAUCAUCAACCUGGCGUGUAUCUCAUAACUGUGGAUGAUCAUGUAAACCAGUGGGGAUCUAUAAAUCUCGAUCAAGAUGGGGAAUAUGCCCCAGUGUGGCAUCGGAAAUGUAACAUGUCGAAAAAUCAGCUGAGCUCAAAUCAUCUAUGCCUGCAACUAGCUAGAUGGCUCUCGAUAGGCUCCACUAAGGAAUCAUCGCGAGGAUAGCGAAUAUAUCAUCAUCCCUGUAUACAUCUCGCAAAUAAGGAUAAGCACGCAACUUCCUCAUGAUCUGUAAAUCUCAUCCGAACGGAAAUAUGCCCCUGUAUGGCAUCGAAAUGUAGGAUAGGUCGGAGAUCAGAUAGCAUGGAAUCAUCUAUCUUAGAACAUGUGACCUCUGCGAAAAUCCAUAAAGAUCCUCCGAAACGGAAUAUGCCCCAGUAUGGCAUCUGACGUGCGACAAACCAGGAAAAACAGGUGACAUCGAAUCAUCCCUCAUCAAACACGUGAUCCUGGUAAUCCAAACACGGUCGAAACGGAUCUAAACAUCUGAGAAGUGUUUCUCAGAAGAAGAUGCAUGGCAAAUAUCUGGAUGUCAACUGAAUCUCAAACACCUGUCCACAUAGAAGCCGUAGAAGACGAUAUCUGAUCCCAUGGCCUCAGGGUGGUCUUAAGACACAGGACGUAAUGUAGGCUAGGGUGAUAGGGUGAUAGAAACGAAGGGAAACUAAGCUCAAAUACCCAAUGAUCAAAACCCAUGCCCUCGUGUGUGAAAUGCAACAUGUACAGAAAAUCCUGUGAGCCCUGGACCUGAGGGUGUCUAAUGUGAAUAUGAUGUCAAUGAGGAAACAAGUGAAGCAAAUCAAACUGAUAAUGAGAUAUGUAAUGGUGAUACGAAGGGAAUAUCAAACCCGAGAUGGGUCUGGUAAGAAAAGAAUGAGAAGUGAAGUGAGAAUGACGAAUCAGAAGCGAAAACGAGGACGAUGAUAAUGAAGCGAAUAACAUCAAAAGGAGUGAUGAUCAACUCAGAUCAGACAUGGAGUGAUGUCACAUCAACUACGAACAUAAUGAUGGAACGUACAAUAACGCAGAGCUCCUAAGAGAAAGUCACUCAUCUCGCUCACAAAAUAUGCAACAAAAUGAAUACAAAGCCUGAGGGAUCCAGGGAAGCUCACAUACGAACUCCCGUCAACAAACAUACUCGAUCAAGUGACCCUCGAAUAUCAAUACAUACACUCAGUGAUGGAUAACAAAACACACUUGAUUUUUAUUUCUUUUUCCAUUUUUUUUUUUUCAUUUUUUUCAUUCAUUUUUUUUUUUUUUUACAACAUAUAAAUGAACUGUACAUGAUCUGAAUGCAUACAAAGAAGACCCAAAGACGGGAUCAAAAAUGAAUAAACAUGCCCUCAAAUAUCAAUAUAUCACAAACUCAAUCUAAUGAGAUGAGGUGACCUUCUCAAACUGAGGAUCCCUGGAUCAGUGUCCGUGGGAUAGAUAGUGGAAAUGGCGUGACUACCCUCCAUGUGAUGAAAUGAGGAGGAUCACCCCUCGGGGUGAAAGAAGAUGACAUGAAACGAAUAGUAGAUAAGAUAAAGAAAAUAUGAUGAAUAACACGAACAGUGAGAUGAGAUGAAAUGCAAUGAUGCAGUGGUGAGCACAGAUAAUGAGAAGAACGUGCCCCUAGGUCCAAGGCUCAUGAAACUCUCAAACAAUGCAUGCAUACACUAAAGGGCCCCAAUCCCGGUGUGAAAAUGUGAGCAAGGCUAUAGAAAAUGAAGGCUAUGAUGCGCGUGUGAGGCUCAAAUGGGCUAGCAAUGGACUAUAUAUAUCAGAAACGGGAUAAAGGGAUAUAGCUAACCGAAAUGAUGGCCACCCAUCCUGCGACCAUGGACUCAAACGUAGUACCUCUUUAGCUGAUCCACAUUGGUCGGCUCUGAGAACUGGUUUCCAUCUAAAUCCAUCAGCCAUGCAGCGCCCUCUGGAGUCAACUUCCUGAUGAAAUAAGGUCCGCUCCAACUAGGUCUGAACUUCCCUCUAGGAUCUCUGAUCAAUCCUCUGAUGACUCUCAAAACUAAGUCACCUACAUGCAGUGGUCUAGGCUUGACCUGCUUUUUGAAAGCGCGGGCCAUCUUCCUCUGAUAUGCACGAACGUGGUCUGCUGCUCUCAAUCUCCUCUCAUCUAGGAGAUUGAGCUGAUCAAAUCGAGCCUGAGCCCAAUCCGUCUGGGGAAUCUGCUGCUCUAGUGCUACUCUCAAUGAUCCCAUCUCAAUCUCAACAGGUAGCACUGCCUCCAUGCCGUACACCAAUGAAUAGGGUGUGGCUCCUGUAAAGGUGCGAAAAGAAGUCCGAUAUGCCCACAAUGCGAAAGGGAGCUUCUCUGACCAAUCCCGAGAAGUCUCAACCAUCUUUCGCAAUAUCCUCUUAAUAUUCUUAUUCGCGGCCUCUACUGCCCCAUUCGUCUGCGGCCUGUACGCAGACGAUCUAUGAUGCCGGAUGCCGUAUCUCUGCACCAAGGUGUCAACCUCUGCUCUGAAAUGCACCCCUCUGUCUGAAAUAAGCUCGUGAGGGACUCCAUAGCGACAAAUGAUGUGCGAUCUAAUGAAACUGACAACUCCAGAUGACGUCAAUCUCGCAUACGAGGCGACCUCCACCCACUUGGUGAAGUAAUCAAUAGCAACAAGGAUAAACUCAUGACCACUGGAAGAUUUCGGUGAAAUCUUCUCGAUGAUAUCGAUACCCCAUACUGAAAACGGCCAUGGUGAAGUCAAUGCAUGCAACUCCGAGGGCGGCACGUGAAUGAGAUCUCCAUGUAUCUGACACUCGGGACAUCUCUGAACGAACUGGCAACAAUCUGUCUCCAUGGUCAACCAAAAGUAUCCUGUCCUCAUGAUCUUACGGGCCAACAUAUGCCCCCCAUAUGUGGUUCGCAGACUCCCGCAUGAACCUCUCGCAUAACUCUAUCGGCAGAAGCGCGAUCCAAACAUAAUAGCAGUAUCCCAUCAAAUGAUCGUCUAUAUAGCGUCUCGCCACAAAUCACGAAUCGGGUGGCCAACUGUCUCAAUGCCCUCCUAUCCUUGGCCGUGGCGGCCUCAGGAUAUAUGCCGAGUCUCAAAAAGUGAUAUAUGUCAUGAUACCAGGGCAAACCAUCGUCUAUCUCCAUAUCAUCAAUCAAACAACAAUACGCAGGAGCAGAUCUCGACUCAAUCAACAAAGGGCGAACAGUGGCAUCAGCGGGAAUGUCGAUCAUGGAAGCUAGAGUAGCUAAAGCAUCAGCAAACUGGUUUUGCGCUCUAGGCAGAUGUGUAUAUCUCAAAUCCUCAAAUCUCGCGACCAGUAGCUCCAAAUACGCGUGGUAAGGCCUAAGCUUCACAUCUCUAGUCUUCCACUCGCCUUGAAUCUGUCUCAAUACCAGAUUGGAGUCACUAAACACCUCCAUCUGUCUAAUCCCAAGCUCGAGGGCUGUCUCUAACCCCAAGAUACAUGUCUCAUACUCAACAAUGUUGUUCGUGGCUGGAUGUCGAUCCGAGAAUGCCAAACGAACAGAUCUGGGAAUGUGAUCACCAUGAGGGGAUAUCAACAAAACGCCUAUCCCGUAUCCAGAAUGGUUGGCUGCACCAUCAAAGUACAUGCGCCAACCCGACAGACUAGUCGCAGCUGCGACGUCCUCGUCUGGAAAAUCAUCGUCAAUAGCUCUGGCAUCAGAAACUGGUAAUGAGGCUAAGUGAUCUGCGACAAUGCUCCCUCUGAUGGACUUCUGAGUGACAUAAUGAAUGUCAAACUCAGUCAGAAGUACCAGCCAUCUCAUAAGGCGACCAACUAGAGCGGGCCUGUCAAACAAAUAUCUCAAAGGAUCAAGACGAGAUAUCAAAUGCACUGAAUACUCGGUCAUGUAAUGUCUCAAUCGGCGAGUGGCCCAAACCAAUGCCAAGCAGUAGCGCUCAAUCGUGACGUAUCUCGUCUCGUAAUCUAGCAUCCUCUUGCUCAGAUAAUAAAUGGCUCGAUCUUUGCCCGAAUCAUCGAGCUGAGCUAACAUGCAACCUAAAGCCACAUCCGAAACUGAUAGGUAUAGGAGUAGAGGAUGGUCUGGUGUAGGCGGAGCCAAAACUGGAGGCGACAACAAGUACUCUCGGAUCCUCUCAAAUGCGCGCUGACACUGAUCAUCCCAAACAGUAGGUUGACUCUUCCUCAAGAGUCGGAAAAUGGGCUCACAAAUGUCUGUCAAUCUGGCUAUGAAUCUACUGAUGUACUGAAGUCUGCCCAGGAAGCCUCUGACCUCUCUCUCUGUCCUCGGUGCAGGCAUGUCAAGGAUGGCUCUAAUCUUGUCCGGAUCUACCUCUAUGCCUCGCUCACUGACCAUGUACCCCAAGAGUUUCCCAGAAGUCACUCCAAAAGUGCACUUCUUGGGAUUCAGCCUCAAUCUAAAUUGUCUGAUCCUCUCAAAGAACCUCUCAAGAGCUGCCAAGUGAUCUGAUCUAUCUCGGGAUUUCACUAUCAUGUCGUCUACAUAAACCUCGACAUCCCGAUGCAUCAUGUCAUGGAAGAGUGUGGUCGCUGCUCUCUGAUAGGUGGCUCCUGCGUUCUUCAAUCCGAAUGGCAUGACUCUAUAGCAAUAAGUACCCCACUCGGUAAUGAAGGACGUCUUCUCCAUGUCCUCUGGAGCCAUCAAGAUCUGACUAUACCCGGAAAAUCCGUCCAUAAAGGACAACAUCGAGUGACCUGCUGUACUGUCAACUAACAUGUCGAUGUGUGGGAGAGGAAAAUCAUCUUUAGGACUGGCCUUGUUGAGAUCUCGGAAAUCAACACAGACUCUCACCUUGCCGUCUUUUUUGGGAACAGGGACGACAUUGGCCAGCCACUCUGGGUACUCGACUACUGAUAGAAAUCCUACACUGAGCUGCUUCUGAAUCUCCUUUUUCACCUGCAAGCUCCAACGAGGGUGCAAUCGUCUCAACCUCUGCUUAACCGGUCUGGCAUGGGGCAGAAGUGGCAAACGAUGCUGGACGAUGGAUGGAUCAAGGCCCGGCAUGUCCUCAUAGGACCAUGCGAAAACGUCCAAGUAGGAUCUGAGCAGCUGGAUGAGACUAUCUCUCUCAUCUGAGGAUAAAUCUGACCCGAUCCUCAACUCCCUAGGCUGAUCUGCGGUGCCGAAAUCAACAAUCUAUGUGUCUCCUACAGCAGGUGAAACCCUCUGAUCAACGGGAUCCGAAUCGGAAACAGAAGAUGAGUCAUCAUCUGAGUCGUGCUGUGCAAUCUCAUCAUCAAUAUCAAAAAUCUGUGAUGUGGGUGAAGAUGGUGCAGAUAAAUCAAUAUCACAAGAGACAGGCAGGUACUAAAAAAUGCUCAAAUCCAUAGAUGAAACAUCGGAAACAAUGUCAGAACGGGAGACAAACCCCGACUGAACGUCAAAUGAAAGAGGUGGGUCCACAAAGUCGGACGCUUCCUCAACAAUGCCAACAUGGCUAUCAAUCAAAUCAUAAAAAACUAUAGCAUCCUUAGUAAUCUCCAGAGCAGGGGCUGUCUGGAUCUCCUCAACGAUCUCGAUGAAAGACACCCCGAAAAGAUCGAAUGGUGAAGUGAGCCCAGGAUGAACUCUCUCCUCGAUCGGGCCCAGGCUCAGGGCGAGCAUCUCGUCGAUGUACUCGUCGUGUGGGACGGCUCCGUCCACUAUGUCUCCGACCCCAGCAAAGGUCUCAUGCUCAUCGGUCUCGUCCGGGAAGCAAAGCGUUAUAAGGCUCGUGCGAUCUGGAGACGAAGGAGCAAUCAACACAGAAGUCGAAGAGCCAGGAGCUCCAUCUCUCAAUCGUAACUGAUGGACAAGGCGCUGAAGCUCGACCUCCUGAGUGGUGCUAAGUCCUCCAAUGAUCACGUCCGCACGGGUCAAUGGCUCUGAUGCCCUCACAAAAUAAUCAGAUAAGCUCCUGGUGUAUGGGCGAAGAGGAUAGUAGAAAGGUGUGUGGGUCAGUCACUCUCUCCUUGCGCAAACGCGCCAUGUAGAGAUAAUCGGCCUCAAUGGGGAUGAACCCGAGUCCGAACGGUACGUCGUGAUCAGGGAUGGCUAUGAACUCGCUCGGUCCAUGCUGACAUCGACCCAACCCCAUGCCGGGUAGAUAGGACAUGCUUCGCAUAAUAUCGAGCACCACUGUGCUCCCAUGCCGGUCAAAGGACAUGGCCACAAAAUCCCGGCAGAAAUCCUCUAUCUCCACAGUCUGCACCUCAUCGAAGGUGAAUUCAGUCAGAAAAAGAUCGUCAUCAGUGUGACUAAUCUCGAGCACAGGCUCGGCAACAAUGAACAUGUCUCCCACAGACUGUACCACGACGACCUGACCAUCGUGAAUAAACUUCACCUUCUGAUGAAGGGAAGAAGGAAUGGCCCCGGCUCUAUGGAUCCAUGGUCGGCCCAGAAGCAGGUUAAAGGAUGUAGGAAUCCUCAAAACCUGGAAUACAGCGACAAAAGUGGCCGGACCGAUCAGCAACUCGAUCUCCAAUGUACCCAUGACCUCUCUACGGGUGCUAUCAUAAGCUCGGACGGUCUGAGUGGAGGGACCGAAAUCAGAAGGAGCGUAUCCAAGGGCGAUGGCAGUGGCAAGAGGACAUACGUUCAGGGCCGAGCCAUUGUCCAAAAGGACAGAUGGGACUCGGCGGCCUGAACAGCCAACAGAUAUGUAGAGCGGACGAGUGUGGUCCGAGCCCUCCGGUGGCAAGUCAUCAUCGGAAAAGACGAUACAAGUGGCUCUGCCAGCCGUCAUCAUAUGAAGGAGUCCCUCGGGAGUGGUCGUGGUAUCAACUCUGAUCUGGCUCAGAGCUCGAGUCAGUGCGUCCCGAUGGGUACUGGAAGACGCUAAAAGGCUCCAGAUAGAAAUACGAGCCUGAGUGCUCUGCAACUGCCUCAAAAUCUCGUCAUCCUCUGCUCUCACCUCCUCCUGGGAUGACGUACCCCCUAAGGGUCUAGCGGGAGCGGCUGGAGGUGGCUGUCUCACUACUCUCCCUCCCCGGAGGAUAUACUAAACGUCCGGAGUCUGAGGAUCAUCACUAUGUGGAGCCUGAACCUCCUCAACAUCUGGGAUCAGAAUGUACGGCGCCUGAACGCUAUAGCGUGUGAAUGUCAGAGGCUCGGAAGUGGCCGCCUGUACAGAUGCUGCCUCAGGAACUAAUCGGAAUGGAGCAGGCAUCUGUGGCUCUAGAGUCACCCCACUCGUCUCGUAAAUCACAGCUGGCAUGAUAGGCUCUGGGUCUGGAUCAUCCCAACUCAACAUAUGGACAUGAUCAUCAGUCUCAUCGAAGUCCAAGAAAUGAAUACCACAAGCUGGUGGAGGAACUGCAUGUGUGGUGUGGGUCGGCAACGGGUUUGUGGUCACACUCGGCUGACCCAAGUGUACCAAACCCUGGUCUAUCAGAUCCUGAAUAGCGUGCCUCAGAGCGGUGCAUCGAUCGGUCUCAUGUCUAGGCCCCUGAUGAUAAGCACAGUGUAAAUCCAUCCUGAACUGAGCUGGAAUAGGCUGAGGUAGUGGCCGAGGGGUGAGAGCAGUCAAUAAACCAGCCUCCGUAAGCUUCCGAAGAGCCUGGCUCAACGGCAUGCCUAUCUGCGAGAACUGCCUCUGCGUCCUCAAAGUAAACGGAGCAGAAGUCUGCUGGGCUCCAGGUCGGGGAUAAGGCGCCGCAGGUCUCGCGGUGAACUGAGCAGCGUAGCAUGGCUGCCCUGUGGCUGUGUAGGAGACCGCGGGUCUCUCAAUGCCCUGAGUGGCAUAAGAAGGUAAAACCAAUGUCUGUGGCAUGUGUGUCUGAUCGUAAGCCGGACGAGGUGCCCGUGGCCUGUACUGAUGAGAUGCAUAGGAAGAAUGAGGCUCGAAAAACUGUGGGAUCGGCUGAUGGCGUCUAAGAGGCCUCUGACUGGAUGAACUGAUAGCACCAACCUCUGUCGGUCUCGGUCCUACGAAUAGUUUCUUCCCCUUAACAUCACUAGGGGAAGAAUCUGCCCAUAAACCUCUCGUGAUGCCGUCCUCGACAUCAUACAAAGCCAUAACCAGAGACCCAAAAUCUGUGAACGGGACCCCGACCACAUGUCUGGCGAUCCCCGGCUGUAGGCUCCUCAAAACCAUCUGAAUCUAGUCUCUCUCUGAUGGUCUAUCCACUAUCUCAGCUAUCUUCCCGCGCCAGCGGGAAAUGAAAGAAGAAACGGACUCCUCUGUCCUCUGCCUUAGAGCCUCGAGCUCUCUCCUCGAUACAUCUACAACAGUGUUAAACGAAAACUGUCGUAGGAACUCCUGGGCCAAGUCAUCCCAUGUACGGCGUCUCGAGGACUCCAGAGACGCAAACCAGCGCUGAGCUGCCCCACUCAGAGAUAGGGGGAAAAGAGUGAUCAUUUGAGGCUCGUCCAGUCCAUGAGCCCUCAUCACGGUGCUAUAAAGUCUGAGGUGGAGGCGCGGACAACCAAUACCAGUGUACCUCUCAAUAUCUGGCAUCCUGAACUUAGUUGGCAAGCUGGCUACCGGCAUACCCCCAAAAUCAUCCCAAACAACUGAUCCAUCUGACACUCUCAUCUGCCUCAUACACUGCUCGAUGCGGUCCAUGCGGGCAUGCGUGUCAUCAGCGACAACGGCCUGGGCGACUACGGGUGGAGUGAUCUCAGAAUGCCCGUGUAAUACAUAUGGUGAUGCCUGAUGCACUGAAGGAACGAGUGGGGGUGGUGGAGGUGGGUGUGAGUCAUAUGGCGUCUCAUCCUGGACUGCUGGUGGUCUACCCUACUGACCACCGAUCUCCUGCCUGAGGCUAGCCAAAGCCUCCUGGAUAGAAGCCAUGGCAGCCGUGAACUGAUCGACCGUGACAACCUGCUGAUCCAUAUCUGGUGUAUCUGAAACCCGAACUAAUCUGCCCUCUACUCUGAUCCACGAAACUAUACCCAGACUGAGAGUAAAAAUCCUGAUCCUGAAAGUACUCCUCUUCUGCUCUGAUCCACAAAGGUAUAUCAAGACAAGGAACAAAUGUCCUAUCCUACAAAGCACGAAGAACGUAAUAAGGAUAUGGCCCGGGGAACGUAUAGAAGAAAAGAUAAUCUGAACAGGAACAAGCAAAGCAUCCAAGUGAAGAUGAGCGAUCCGACCGUACUCAAACUCGUCCUGAUCUCAGUGCACUCUCAACUGGAGACUAAACAGAGGGAAAAUCGGAUCCAAAACUGCGGCUACAGAGGCACGGAAAGCCCUCAGAUGCACCCACGUGUAGGGAGGGAAUCCUAAUCGAAGGAUCUACGGCUCAACCUACAAGGUCAAGGUGGCUCUAAAUGGAUAAGGGUGGACUUUAAAAUAUCCCUAGCAGAAGCGAUUAUACCCUCCGACGGUACGCAACCCUCUGCACGUCUCCGAAGAGACGGGGCGCUUCCAUGCAAGGUGGUCAUCACCUCCACACAUGCACUACCUCGCAUCCCAGGGGGUUUCCUAUGGUGAAACCUCUCAAACUCUCAACACUCAAUAGUCGACUAGAGUGCACAGUGAAUGGUGUGGGUGCAUCCGAAACCCUAAAAAGCUAAAGCAGGAUAUGAAACACACUGGCCACACAAAUAUCCAUGAAACCUAGCUUCGGGCUAUACAGGUCUUCAAUGAUCGGACUCCAAUCGACAUCAAAGUGUCGCUCUCCUCCAAAAUGCUCCCGUGCAUCGAUAUAGCCCAUCGCUAGACCCUACUCCUAAUCUCCGGCUCGGUCAAAGAGCAAGCACACAGAAGGUCUCACACUUGCAAUAGUGAGAACCGAAAUGAAAGGAAUGACCGAAACCAAGAGAGUUGGAGGUAGGGGGAUAGAAGUGAGACCCACAUAGACAGGCAACAUGCAAUCAUACAGAGGGAGGGCAGUCAUGCAUCAUACGGUCAAGCAGAGUAUAGGAUAUAUCACUCAUGUCCACACAAAAAAAAAAGCUACAACUAUCAGGAUGAAUAGUGAUAUGAACAUCAUGCUCAAAAGAUGAUCUAGAUAAUAUGCAGGUCAGAGAAAACAACACAGCAAGUCAAACGAUGUACAAUAGUGAGUCUAUGCAUGUGAAGUGAGCAGAAUAAUCAGGAAGAAACAGAAUCGCUUUACCAAGCAAAACAAGGUGAGCAACCUAUGAUAAUCGGCAUGUCAAUGUACCAAACUAAUAUAGCAAUGAAGUACAAAAAAAACGACAUCCGAAGCCCCAAAUCAAGAUGAUCAAUCAUAUCAAUGUCACAACAUAAUAUCCAAGCAUACAUAAAAAAAACUCUCAAUGUGCAAUCAAGAGACAGGUACUCGCUGAUCGACUCAUCAAAUGCCCUGUUUGCUUCAUCUUAAGUUCAAGCUUGACCCUCUAACUCAUCCCCAGCGGAGUCGCCAUUUUGUGGACCCCGCAUUUCGGCUCAAUGCGUUCCCCACUCAAUGGUGCAUGCAGUCUGUUGAGGCUUUGCAAUGAUGGAACCUGAGUGCAUUGUUGGGCAGUCAUCCAUCCUUAUGAAAAGUUCUUAGGAGACUCACCCAAUCCUUGAAGUUGGAUCUGUUCCAUCCCCAGAAAGAAGAAUAUCAACAGUGAAUUAUGGGCACUACGUCCCUUUGACUUGGACGUUGGCCGCCAAUGUUUGAUAUGGAGUCGCGUUUGACUCAAAUGUACACUGACGCUACUUUUGGGCAUUGCCAUCAUGCUAUCCGUGACAUUUUAACUCCUGUCCUUCUUGCAUUAUACGAAUCAAGGAGGAAGAGUAAAUCAAAGUAAAACUCAUCAUAUGGGGCAACGUGAUUUUUAUCCUUCCAGGCUGGCAGAGACUCAACAUGAUACAGGGUUCUAAUCAAAGUUUGCUCUCGUCCAAAUACUCAAUCCUGUAAACAUCCAUGGGAUCAGUAAUGGAGAUAAGAGAAGGUCAGGAAUGCAAAUGAAAGAGAAUCAUCAUUGAAGUAUUGGGUUGAAUAAUGGGGUUAUCAUGGGAUCAAGAGGCUUAUGGCUUGGUGACAAUAGUUGACAUGGACAAAUGAGGAGAUAUGAAAGGCCAGAUUUGAGAGAUGAAGUCCACGUUUCUAUCAAGGAUUAUUUUAAUUGAUUCCAUCAAGGGCUCUCACAUGUGAGAUAGAGAUGGCAAUAGUAACAAGCACAACGAUGUCAAUGGCAUGAUUUCUGAGGCUAGUAUCAUAGGCGGCAUCCACCAGGCCAUUUUGAUCCAUAAGAAAGGUAGCAAAGUGCAUCGGGGCUUCCUCUUCGUUUUGGGUGGAAUGGUGAUCUUUGUGUUCCUCAACGACAUCCAUGGAGUGGAGUAGAUUGUUUAUUUGACAGUAGCAAUUGCAAAUGGGUCAUUAAUGGACUUGGUUUUGAUUACCAGGGCUUGAGAGGUUUCUUACCGAAUGAUAUAUCCCAAUCGCGCCAUCUACAUGCAACACGUCAGAAUGAUUCUUCUGUGGAUGGGAGCUAUUCAUGUCCUCUGGUGUUUGAGAAACUGCCAGACGUAAACCAGGAAGGGUCCCAGUGGACAGAUUGUGAAAUUCGAGAGACCAUCAACGUGAUUUAUCAUGUAUAAACUGGAUUCUUACCUAAGUAUCCUUGUUUCCGAACAUCGUAAACCGCGGAAAUUAACUUUGUACUGGAUUCCCUAUACAUGUGGGGCAGCGGGCUCAUCAGUUUGCUCAGUAUGGCUCCUAUGUCAUGGUAGUUUGAUGGGAAGUAAUGACAUAAAAAAUUGGGUUCGUGAAGCUAAGGACUCAACCAUUACCUUCUGGAAUAAUCAUGUAGAGCAAUCGAUUCCGUCCAUUAGAGAUGAAUUCUUUCAGGCAAUCAGGAGCAACACCUAUGAUGCCAUCAGCUGUUCUAACAAGCUCUGCAGCACCACUGAUCCUUAUAGUGCAGUCCCUCCACCCUGAGCUUAGAGGGAAGUGUUUUUGCAUGGCCACCUUGGGCAUGCAGCUCUUGACCAUGUGCCAUUUCCUUCUAUUCUCUCAUCCCCUGUUUUCUUGAAAAUAAUCUUCUUAAAUCCCAUUUUCAAUAAAAUUUGGUUGCCAUUUUCCUUCCGGCAAGCCACUUGUGCAUUUUCUUUGUUUUUAAAAUGUUUUAAAAAUAAGUAAGAAUUAAAUUCCGUAAUUCCAAGUGAUGGAAUUUAUGGAAUUGAUUCAUGCAAAAAUGAAUUGGGUCUUGGUGGGGGCCCUACAUAUGAGAUUCCAUGAUUGAUUGAUUUAUUUGUCAUGCAUGAUUGAUUUACUCUAUUCCUUGAUAUGCGCUUAAUUAUAUAUGUUCAUUGUUCACUAACCAUGUUUCAUGAUAGCGCAUUCGUGAUUGCCGCCCAGGUACGCAUCUAUUCAUAUUUUGCUCAUUCUUUAUACAUGCUUUGUCUCUCAUAUGUGCAUGAUUGAUUCGAGUAUUCAUUGAUUUUCUCAUUGAUUGUCAUGUCAGCUUCAUCUCAUUAGUAGAGACCCGACUUUAGGGACUUAGAGGGGUGCUACGGUCCAUACCGUACCUUCCCAAUAAGUAACCUGACCCCUGAACCCGAUCCGAUUUUUCACAGACCACCUUUUCCAAAAUAAGGAGUCACACUUAGGGUUUUUCUUUCUUAUUUUGUUUACCCUUUAAAAAUAAAACAAAAAUAAGUGGCGACUCCAAGUCAUUUUCAAAUAAUCAAUAAAAAUCAUUUUUCAAAUAAAAAUCGAGCUCGUCAUCGAGUGGGAAACGCAUUGAGCCGAAAUGCGGGGUCCACAAAGUGAUCUUGAAAAUUAUAAGUUAAUUAUGUUUACUUGAAUAAGAGAUUUGAAUAAUCUUGUAAAAAGAUGAUGUUUGUCGUUUAAGUGGAAGGUUGAUUUAGAAAUUAUCAUACAGGGAAAUGGAAAAAAAUACUAUUAUUUUGGUACAAGACCAUAUUAUUCAGUGGUGUCUCUAGAAAGUUCCAUUAGAUGCUAUUAAACAAUUAAUUUGGUGUCUCACUUGCAUAAUUUUGAGUUAUUGGAUUUUGGGUUUUGCAGACUCUAAUCUCCGGAGGUAACGACACAACUGUUGUCUCUCUGACAUGGGCACUCUCUCUUGUACUAAACAACCAUGACACCUUAAAAAAAGCUCAACAAGAAUUAGACAUCCAAGUUGGGAAGGAAAGAUUAGUGAAUGAACAAGAUAUAGGUAAGUUGGUCUAUCUCCAAGCCAUUGUUAAAGAGACAUUACGGUUAUAUCCAUCAGGACCACUUGGAGGACUACGCCAAUUUACCGAGGAUUGCACCUUAGGUGGAUACCAUGUCUCUAAAGGCACCCGUUUAAUAAUGAACCUUUCGAAGAUCCAAAAGGAUCCAAGAAUUUGGUCAAAUCCAACAGAAUUCCAACCAGAGAGGUUUCUCACCACCCAUAAAGAUGUUGAUCCUUGGGGAAAACAUUUUGAAUUUAUACCAUUUGGAGCUAGUCGAAGAGUAUGUCCAGGAAUAACUUUUGGUCUUCAAAUAUUACAUUUAACAUUAGCUAGUUUCUUACAUGCGUUUGAAUUUUCAACUCCAUCAAAUGAAUAGGUCGAUAUGCGCGAGAGCCUUGGACUUACAAACAUGAAAUCUACCCCACUUGAAGUUCUCAUUUCUCCACGCUUAUCUUCUUGUAGUCUUUACAAUUAAAACAUUGAAACGAAUAGGUCAAGUCGGUCUUGCUAGUCUUGGUUUAAAGACAUAUGGAGUUAGGUUCAAUCAAUCUAUGACAAGAUUUGGGAUUGUAUUAAAAGUAGGUUGGACUAAGAAUGAUGUAUAAUAAACUAAAGUACUAUUUAUGUCAAUAAAGUAUAGCUUUAUAUAUUAUUUGGUUAUCCUUGCUCUCCGUCUAGGCUCUCAUGGGUGCAAGGCCUACCCAUGAGGCCCUUUUCUCCAAAUUUGAGUCAAGUGGCUAAGGGGCUUACAACUAGCUUCUUUGCCAUAGACAAAUUUUCUUUUGUUUAUAUGUUUUAAUUGAUGCAUAUUCACUUUCUUCUUUUCUUAAUUAAAUUGCAAUAAUUAAACAUACAAUUUAAAUAAAUUUUAAAUUUUAUUUUUAACUAAAAACAAAAGUAUACAGAUACAAAUAUAUACUGCUUAAGUAAUUAAUUUUUAAAAAUUAUCCUUUGAGAACAUCUCAGACAAACUGAGACAUGCUUCCAGAGAAAUCUAAAUGUAAUGUUUUUAAAAGCUACUUUGUAAUUUUAUUUUCGAGCAUGUUGCAUAAUAUAUACUUUCCUUGAAUUGAUUUUCCAAACUAUAUUUUUAUUAGCAAUAAGGGUUAUCUACGUUUUGGAAAUUAUAAGUUAAUUAUGUUCACUUGAAUAAGAGAUUUGAACAAUCUUGUAAAAAGAUGAUAUAUAUAUAUAUAUAUAUAUAUAUAUAUAUAUAUAUAUAUAUAUAUAUAUAUAUAUAUAUAUAUAUAUAUAUAUAUAUAUAUCGUAUGGCUGAUUUGGAAAUUAUCCAAAAUGGAAAAAAAUACUAUUAUUUUGGUACAAGACCAUAUUGUUCAAUAGUGUCUCUAGAGAGUUCCAUUAGAUGCUAUCAAACAAAUAAUUUGGUGUCUCACUUGCAUAAUUUUGAAUUGUUCGAUUUUGGGUUUUGCAGGCUCUAAUUGUCGGAGGUAACAAUACAACUGUUGUCUCUUUAACAUGGGCACUCUCUCUUUUACUAAACGUACAACCACGACAUCUUAAAAAAGGCUCAAGAAGAAUUAGAUAUCCAAGUUAGCAGGGAAAGAUUAAUGAAUGAACAAGAUAUAAGUAAGUUGGUCUAUUUUCAAGCCAUUGUUAAAGAGACAUUACGGUUAUAUCCACCAAGACUACUUGGUGGACUAUGCCAAUUUACUAAGGAUUGCACCUUGGGUGGAUACCAUGUCUCUAAAGGCACCCGUUUAAUAAUGAACCUUUCAAAGAUCUAAAAGGAUCCAAGAAUUUGGUCAGAUCCAAUAGAAUUCCAACCAGAGAGGUUUCUCAUCACCCAUAAGAAUGUUGAUGAUUGGGGAAAACAUUUUGAAUUUAUUUCAUUUGGAGCUGGUCGAAGAGCAUGUUUAGGAAUUGCUUUUGGUCUUCAAAUAUUAUAUUUAACAUUAGCUAGUUUCUUACAUGCAUUUGACUUUUCAACUCCAUCAAAUGAACAUGUUGACAUGCAAGAGGCCUUAGACUUACAAAUAUGAAAUCUACCUCACUUGAAGUUCUCAUUUCUCCGGACUUAUUUUCUUGUAGUCUUUACAACUAAAACAUUGAAAUGAAGAGGUCAAAGUCGACCUAGCUAGUCUUGGUUUAAAGACAUAUAGAGUUAGAUUCAAUCAAUCUAUGAUAAGAUUUGGGACUGUAUUAAACAUAGGUUGGACUAAAAAUGAUGUACAAUAAACUAAUUAAAGUAUUGUCCAUGCCAAUAAAGUAUAACAUUAUAUAUUAUUUGGUUAGCCUUAAGGAAUGUAGCAUCAUAAUUAUUUCUUUGUUUUGUCUAAUUUAUCACCAUUUUUUCCCCUUCUCUUCUUCCCUUCUCUUCAUUAGAACAAAUAAUAUAUAGUCUUUUUAUUUUUAAAAAUCAAAUUCGAUUCCCAGUUAUAUAAGAAUUUUACUUUUACUUUAUAAUAAACUUUACUUUAAUCUUAAUAACUUUGACCAUGAUCUCCAUCAUUGAUUAAAUAUAGGGAUAAUUUCAAUCAUUUUUUCUAAGAUUGGAGUUAAAUUUACCCAUCCAUUAUUAAUUUGAAAUUUUAUUAAAUAUUUUUUUUUUCCUUUUUUUUUACAUGUAUAUCUUUUAAUUUAAAAUAAUAGUUGUCCGAUAUAUUUAUAUGAAAUUAUUUUCGAAGAGGUGAAUGAAACUAAACUUUUUUUUAAAUAUAAAAUCAUAAAAAUUUAAUAUACGCCAGCACGAUCCGGUCUAAAUAUUAUAUAUAAUUUGUGUCAUUUCAAAAAAUCAUAGAAGAUCCUUUUGGCAAGGUGGCCCCUUUGAGUAGGAAUUCUCUAAUUGGUCACUACAUAUUACAUAAUUUCAAAGAUUAUGGAGGAUCAUUUACCAAUCAUUAUCAGAAGAAGUGCUGAUUCCUGUAUAAAACUAACCAAUACGAUAUUUAGCACAUGCAAACAGAUUUGGAAGGAUCUGAAAGUCAAGCCUACGGGCCAUCCCUUUACGGCUUGUUCGAAAAAGCACAAAUUGAUGGGGUGCCACUUGCCAGCAGUCUGUUUCAAUAUCUAAAUGUUACCCAGUGGGAUUGCUUGAUAUACUUUUUGUCUCCUAGCUACCAUCUAUUAUUAUGGAGCUCCAGAGCUGGUAAGAUAAGAAUACACCCAAAAGCUGCUGGUGCAUGGCCAAUAAUCGGUCACCUCCUCUUAGGGUCACAACUUCCUGGGAUUUUUUUUUAUAAAAUUACGGUAAAUUUAAAAUUAAUUUUUUAAAAUGCGGCAUAUUGAAAAUAUGCUUGAAUAAUAAUAAUAAAAUGACAAAUAAUAAAAAGGAAAGAAAGUUGUCUUGUGGCUAUAAGAAAGAAUAAUAUAAAAGAGAGAGAUGAGGAGAGGCGGAUAGAGAGAAGAGUAGGCCGAAAAAAAAAAAAAAAAAGAGGAGAACGGGGAGGUGCUGCAAAUCUUUGGGCGUUCGAUCGUAUGACGAGCAAAACGACUUAUGUUUUGCAUGAAAGUUAAGGAGAAAAUUUUCUUUGAGGCGAGGAACAUUCCUUCAAAGUUCGAUUUUAGUUUCAAUGAUUGGAUUUUUUUAUUUGUGGUAAGAUAGUUUAAUCCUACAACUUUUGUUUAAUAUUUUGUUCUUGAAAAAAUAUUAUGAAUUUUUUUAGUGGAAGAUAAAUAUGUGUUAUUUGUGUUUUCUUUAUGUUAUUUGAAGUAUGAUUAUUCUUAAGGUUAUUAUUAUUAUUAUUGUUUUAUGAUUUACAUAUUAUUAUGAUUUUAUUUUUAAAAUUUUUAUGUUUGCAAUGAUUUAAUUGAAGAAAAACUGUUGUGUUGAUUGUUGAAAAUUAUUUAGUAUGUUGGGAAUAAAUAAAAUUUAUAUGAUUAGGGUUGAGACUAUGUUUUGAUGAUAUGUAAAUUAUUGUGAAUAUAUAUAUAUUUUAUAUUUGUAGUGAUUUAAUUGAAGAAAAAUUGUUGUGUUGUAAUUGGAAUUAUUGAUCAUGUUUGGAGUAAAUAAAAAUUAUGUCCUAGAAAAUUAUGCAUAAUAACAUGCAAGUUUAUUAUAUUUCAUAUGCAUCAUGGUUAUGUGAAAAAAAAAAUUGAUGAAAGAUUUUAUAAAAUGAAAAAGGAAAAAGAAAAUAAUGAUGAAAAGUAAAAACCUGUGAAAGAUAAAUCAAGAAGGAAAUGAGAUUUCUAGUGUAAAAAAUACAAAAAUUUAUCCCGUGAGUGUAUUUGAUAUAGAUGCAUAUCAUUAAGUGAAAACCCAAAAACAAUAGUUGAAUGUAAGCAUUUGCACCAUGUUUUCAUUUGGAAGAAGGACAUGUAUUAAAUACUUGAAUGACAUCAAUGGUAUGUUUAAAUAUAUUAUUAGAGAUUGAAAUAAUUUAUUUAUUUUGUAAGUUUAGAAUUAUUGGAUAAACCGCUAUUGACGAUUGGACCGAUGAAUGGGGCGGUUUUUCAUGAACUGCAUGGCUAAAUUCCAGCUCCAGUCUUCCUCCCAUUUUUCCUUUCAUCCAAAUAGUCCAACCUCCCCCUCCUCUUUUUCAUAGGGUCCAAGUGAAAGCCCAAUAAGCCCAGCCUUACAUUUUAAUGGCUUUUUGGCAAAACCUAAACCCAUUUAAACCCAUGGGUGGUACCUUUUUGGCAUGUACUAAUUUGAGUUAUAUGAAUUUUUGUAAUUUAAAUUAUAAUUUGUUAUUUUGUAAAAUAUUUUUUACUUAGAUUUAUGUAGAUAUUUGGGUUAAUUUGGGAUUAUAUAUUGAUCUAUUCAACUGAAAUCAUUGACCGUCAAAUUGGAUAGGAAUAACAUUUAAGGUCAACCCUUUGACCUGAUAUCACUAAUCGGAUUCUGAGUUGCCUUGAAUAGGGUGUGACUAUAAUGGAUUUUCUUCUCCAAUGCCUAAACCCUGUCAUGGUUGGAGCGUUUGCAAUACUCGUCCUCUCAUACCACCUGUUAUUAUGGAGGACUGGAGCUGGUAAGAGCAGAAUGGCACCUGAAGCUUCUGGUGCAUGGCCCAUAAUAGGUCACCUGCACCUGUUAGGUGGAUCUAAGAAUUUGCCUCACUUACUUUUUGGAACCAUGGCCGACAAGUAUGGACCAGUAUUCAGCAUCCGGCUGGGAUUAAAAAGAGCUGUGGUGGUGAAUAGUUGGGAGAUGGCCAAGGAAUGCUUCACCACCCAUGACCUGGCUCUGGCCUCCCGUCCUGAGGUUGAGGCCGCCAAAUAUUUGGGAUAUAACUAUGCCAUGUUUGCUUUCUCUCCUCACGGUGCAUACUGGCGUGAAGUGCGUAAGAUAGCUACUCUAGAGCUACUCUCGAAUCGCCGGCUAGAAUUGCUGAAGAAUGUCCGAAUCUCAGAGGUGGAGACAUGCAUGAAGGAACUAUACAAGCUUUGGGCAGAGAAGAAAAACGAAGCGGGCGUUGUUUUGGUGGACAUGAAGGAAUGGUUUGGGCACUUGACUCUGAACGUGAUUCUUAUGAUGGUUGCUGGAAAACGAUAUUUCGGUUAUACAGGCGAAAGUAAAGAGAAAGAGGCCCAGCAGUGCCGGAAAGCGAUUAGGGAAUUCUUUCGUUUGUGGGGACUCUUUGUGGUGUCAGAUGCCAUUCCUUUUUUUGGAUGGCUUGACGUGGGUGGACAUCUGAAAGCCAUGAAGAAGACUGCAAAAGAACUGGACGGUAUUGCUCAGGAAUGGUUAGAGGAACACCGGCAGCGAAAAGAUUCUGGUGAAGCUGAUGGUAACCAGGACUUCAUGGACGUGACGCUGUCCAUUCUGGGUGGUAGAGACAUUACUGAUUAUGAUGCUGAUACCAUCAACAAAGCUACAGCCCUGGUAUGCACAUUAUUCCUUUAGCAUCUUUAUAUGGUAGUAAAAAAUGAGACAUAAUUUCAUGCUUUAUCAUCUUUAGUCCAGACUCAAGAGUACUUGGGCCUGGGUUGGAAGAACUUAUUUUUGCUUUGUUUCAAGUCGAAACUAAUCAAAAGCAGCGAUUUUUAAAAGGUAAUUAUAAUAAUGGUAUUAUAAAAGUUCAAACAUAAAAUAACUUUUUGCAUAAAUCAAAAUAGAAUUUUUAUAUAUACAUAUAAAAUGUUUUUCUGAUCUUCAUAUUAAUUUUUUUAAGUCAUAACUUUUUUGAACAAAAUUAGUCAAACCAUAGAACUCUUGAACUUACAAAAAAGGGCUUUCGAUUUCUUAGAAGUAGAUACAUGUAGAUUAUGAAAGUAUGUUCCUUAGUCCGCAUGGUUUGAGGCCUCUUUGAGUGGGCUUCUAGAGUCGGUUAGACAAUUGGGCCUUUCAAAGGAUUUCCUAAAUUUACAUUUUUUUUAGCCCAACUUGAAUUUUUAUAAAAUGCUAUAUUUAUACGCGAGUUUCAUAUUCAAGCUAAACAUACCCAUUUUGAUUGGAAAAAAAAGGAAAGAAAAUGGGGCCUUUUUUCCACCCUUAAUCCUAUCACUACUUUUAAUUUUAUUUUAUUAGUUAAUGGUUUGUAUUUCACAGAUUCUGAUUGGAGGAGGCACUGACACUACAUCUGCUACUUUAACAUGGGUCAUCUCACUUUUAUUAAACAAUCCAGAUGUAUUAAGAAAAGCCCAAGAAGAAUUGGAUGCUCAUGUUGGUAAAGAAAGACUAGUAAAUGAAAUGGAUAUAAGCAAGUUGGUCUACCUUCAAGCAAUUGUUAAAGAGACAUUGAGGAUAAAUCCAACAGCUCCACUUUCAGGACCGCGUCAAUUCAUCCAAGAUUCUAUUUUAGGGGGUUACCAUAUCUCAAAAGGCACUCGUCUUAUAUUGAACCUUACCAAGAUCCAAAGAGACCCAAGAGUAUGGUUGAAUCCAAUGGAGUUCCAACCAGAUAGAUUCCUCACCACCCAUAAAGAUGUUGAUGUUAGAGGUAAACAAUUUGAGUUGACACCAUUUGGAGGUGGAAGAAGAAUUUGCCCUGGAGCAGUUUUUGCCCUUCAAGUGCUACACUUAACAUUAGCCAACUUCCUGCAUAGAUUUCAACUUUCAACUCCAUCAGAUGCACCGGUUGAUAUGAGCGAGAGUUUUGGAUUAACAAACAUCAAAUCCACUCCACUUGAAGUUCUUAUCUCCCCACGCUUGGCUUCUUAUGAUCUUUAUGAGUAGAACUUGAGGUCGCUAAGAGACUUAUUUCAAAAAACCUAGUGCUAUGAAAUGUGAAAUAAAAAUAAAUUUCACACAUGUAGCAUAAGUUUAGUAUUAUUUUCAAGCAGUUACUCAUGUGUGUCCUUUAAUAUUGUCUUAGCUUGAAUUUAAUGAAAAAUAUUUUCGACACCUUUUUCGUGUGGACAAGUAAUGACCCAAUUUCUUGUUAUGUUUCUUCAUUCUUUCAUGAAAGAGAAUUUAGAAGAACAAGUGACAUAUAGCAUUACAAUUGAAAAAUUAAUAAGUAUGUGCUCCACCAUAUGCAUAUAUAUAUGCAUAGUAGACUUGAUGAGUUUCCAAGUUGAUUAAUUGGUAUCUCCUUUUGAUAGAUUUCAGCCACCUUUUUGUACAUGAUUAAAGUAGUAAUGGAAACUAAAAUUACAACUCCCAUUUCAUUGUAAAAAGUUGGGAUGUGCAAGGUGGGUCAGUUCAAUUUUGGGCAUUAAAAUCAAAUCGAAUUGAACCCAAAAGAGGAAAAUGAUUAGUUUGACUUGAUUAACAAUAAUCUAAGUUGGUUCAUUUUGCUUCUAUUUAUAACAUCAAUUUUUUUUUAUAAUUUGAACAAAAAUAAUAUUAUUGAAGCAAGUCAUCUUUGGACGGUUGAAAUGAUAUUAUUACCACUAAUUUCAAAUCAUAUUAUUAUAACUUAAUGACGUGAAUAGGUAUUAUUGUAACCCAUGUCAAUCAUAUCAAAUAGUCCAAGUCAGAUAAAAGUUAUAAAGGUGUGAUUGGGAGUUCCAUCCAAUGUGAAAAAUGUAUACCAAAUUAAUGAUGUAACCAAUUGUUAUACUGUAUAUUAUUACUGUGUGUAUAACUUUCAAUUCAAUUCAGUUUGGUUCAUUAAUUUUUUUAAUAGGUAAUUGAAUUGGUAUAACUGAGUUAUAUAUUUUAAAAACCAAAUUUAUUAAAAAAAUAAAAUCUUAAAAAAUUAAUAGAUUUGGGUCAAUUCCAUUGAUUUUGCCAAUUGUACACCCUAAAAGAAGGGAUGUCCACUUAUCAUUCAUAAACUUUGUGUACUCCUAAGUUACAAUUUUGUCCCAUGUGAUUCACAUUUGUACUUAUUAUUCUCAAUUUUUUGUACAAAUGAUUUAUUAUUUUACAGAAUUUUACUCCAUGAGAUUCACAUUUGUACUUAUUAUUAUCAACUUUGUCUGCUCUUAAGUUACAAUUUCUCCUAAUUAGAUUCACAUGCGUUAUUGCCAUAAUUGAAUUUCCACAUUUAUGCAUGAAUUAUUAUGUUAAUAGAUACAUUAUCAUUUUGUCAAGUUAAUCUGACUCAGGUUAAUCACCAAAGACAAGGUGAAUUAAUUGACUCAAUUUUAAUAAAUUUUAAUUUAAAUGAGUGCAAGUAAUAAUAAUACAAAAAAAAUUAAAUAAAAAGAAGAGAUAACAGGUACAAACUCCAAUUUAUAUAUUUUGCUCAAUCCUAUACUCUCCUCAAGCUCUCAAAUGCAAAUUGAGGGUUCCACUAGCUUUUAAGACUUCAAUCAAACCUUAAUCCUUUACACUUGGAUUCUCAAUUUCAAUGACCUUUUUACACUUUAAUUCAAGAAAUUCCUCACUCUUGAACAUACUCAAAGGUAACACUUAAACAACAUUGAUCUCACAAAAUUUAUUUACAGAUAAUAUAAAUGAAAACUUAAAUGGUUUUUCUUGGCUAGGAUUUCUAAGUUAAUAAGGAUUUUUACAUUAAAAAGAAAGAGUUAAGAUCAACUGGGUUUUGUAAGAUUUUGAUAUAUAUCUUAGUUUGUGAGUUUUUUGGGAUUCUAUUGUAAUCUUAUUGUUUUAUCCUAAAAUUGUCAAAAAAAGAAAUCAGUAAUUUAGUAUGGCAAUUUUACUCCAAAGAUUAUUGAUUAAAAAUUAUUUUACUAAUACCAACGUGUAAGAGUUAAAGGCAUAAAAUUGAAAUUAAAGUAAGUUUAUUAUUUUGGAUUUGGUUAAGUAAUGACAAGAUUAAUAAUUGAACUUAAUGUAAAAAGAAGUGUAAAAACUUUAAAAGUUUAAAAUAUCAUUUCAUUAUUAGUUUCCACUUGCCAACAUAGAUUUCUCAUUCUAUUCUAACAAGUUUUUUGUACUUUUAUAUAUAUAUUUCAUAAACUUAACAAAGGAUACAAACAGCAAAAGAAAAAAAAAUAAUUGAGCUACUAAACCUCAAUAUAAAUUUGGGGUGAAUUGUCAAGGAGCAGGGGGAAGUACUGUAUCACAGAUCAAUGUGAAGAUGUAUAUAUAUUUAUAGUAUAGAACCUAAGAGGUGAACGUUUCUUUCUAAGUUAGGUAAACAUUUCUGUCAAAGUUGAUGAAAUUUUACUAUAAUUUAUAUACACAUGCUUUCAGUGUGCAUAUAGGUUGAAAUAAUAUGUGGAGAUGAUUUUUAUAUGUGAUUUAAUAUUGUUUUGGAUUAUUGAUUAUGACUAUAAAUUAUCAUGCAUGGAACUAAUCAAAAUGAUAUAAUUAAAUUAUAUUAAUGAAUUUGAGAUAGACAUGGCAAUUAUUAAUUUGAAAUAUCUUAUAUGAACAUAAAAUUUUAAAUAUAGACUCAUAAUUUAUAUUAAAAUAAUAAAAUUAAAAAAGUACGUUUAUCUCAAAUUUAUGCCUAGGGCCCAAAUUUUGCUGAGAGCCAGCCGGAUGUCAUCACAUGCAAGAAAGCUAGGAAACAAAGCUGAAGUUUGCUUCUUGUGUGGGAAGAGGUACUUCCGUGCUUGACUGAAAGAAAGGAUUUUCUACAAGAAAAAUUGUCCCCUUGUUUGUAAAGCCUCAAGUUGCGACAGCAAUAACGACAAAAGUAGGCCAAAGAAUUUGUCAUUAUUAUGAGACUAGAGAGGUUUUACUGAGAAGUUUUCCGAGCGUGAUAUCAGCAUUCGCUGUAUCACAGUGAUACAACAAAUGGUUUGAACACAGUGAUCUAGAACCCAUUAGCUCAAAUUUCAUUGAUCUGAACACGAUGAUCCUCAUCCGCAGACCAUUUUAGGGAAUGAUUAAUUCUAGCGAUUUUUUAACUGCCUGUACGAAGAACUUUAUCAAAAUUGGAUUCAGUGUAUCUUAACCAAUCUUGAUCAGUAUGCGACUGAUGAUUCUAUUUGAUAAAAGUAAUGCGGUGGCCCAACUUUAUCUUAAUUUCCAUGUUGAAACUAACCAUUAUAUUAUUCUAUAAUUAUAAAUAUAUACUAUGGAAUUAAGAUAACUUUGACAUGCUAAGGAUCAAAAGAGGGCAGCCACUUUAGUUGUGGAUUAUACUAAAUAAAGCUGAUCGAUUAUUACAUUGGAAAAUAACAUUGAACCUAUCAUGAAAGACAACCCUACUGGACCAUGCCCUGAGUACUAAAUGCUGAUAAAAAACAAGUACAUGUUCCAAAGGAAUUGAGUCCAUAUAUACUCAUUAGUGCUCAAAGAGAAAAACUAUAUAUCCACCGCUUAACUACAGUGAUCCUUUGAGCAGAAGAAACUAGCCAUGUAUUUCCUUCUCCAAUACCUAAACAUCACCACGGUCGGAGUCUUUGCCACACUUUUCCUUUCCUACUGUCUAUUAUUAUGGAGGUCUAGAGCUGGUAACAAAAAAAUAGCACCUGAAGCUGCUGCUGCAUGGCCCAUAAUCGGUCACCUACACCUGUUAGCUGGUGGUUCUCAUCAGCUUCCCCACAUAACCUUGGGAAACAUGGCCGACAAAUAUGGACCGGUCUUCACAAUUCGGAUUGGGUUGCAUCGAGCUGUGGUGGUAAGUUCUUGGGAGAUGGCUAAAGAAUGCUCGACCGCCAAUGACCAGGUUUCAUCCUCGCGUCCCGAACUUUUAGCCUCAAAACUUUUGGGCUACAACUACGCCAUGUUUGGUUUCUCUCCAUACGGUUCUUACUGGCGUGAAAUGCGCAAGAUAAUCAGCCUAGAGCUACUCUCUAACAGCCGCUUAGAGCUGCUGAAGGACGUCCGAGCUUCAGAAGUGGUGACAUCCAUAAAAGAGCUAUACAAGCUCUGGGCAGAGAAAAAAAAUGAAUCGGGCCUUGUCUCGGUGGAGAUGAAGCAGUGGUUUGGAGACUUGACUCUGAACGUAAUUCUUAGGAUGGUGGCAGGGAAGCGUUAUUUCAGUGCUUCAGAUGCAAGUGAAAAUAAACAGGCGCAGAGGUGCCGGAGAGUGUUCAGGGAAUUCUUUCAUUUGUCAGGGCUCUUUGUGGUGGCGGACGCUAUUCCAUUUCUUGGAUGGCUCGACUGGGGGAGACAUGAGAAAACCCUAAAGAAGACAGCAAUAGAAAUGGACAGUAUUGCUCAAGAAUGGUUAGAGGAGCACCGUCGGAGGAAAGACUCCGGUGAUGAUAAUAGUACGCAAGACUUCAUGGAUGUGAUGCAGUCAGUUCUUGAUGGCAAAAACCUUGGUGGUUACGACGCUGAUACCAUCAAUAAAGCCACAUGCCUGGUAUGAGUUAUUAAUGAAACACCCACGUACCAUUUAUUUGCAUAUUAUCAGGGCUAGCUUCUUUUGCACAGACAGUUUUUCUUUUGUUUAUAUGUUUUAAUUGAUGCAUAUUCACUUUCUUCUUCUCUUAAUUAAAUUGUAAUAAUUAAACAUAAAAUUAAAUAAAUUUUAAAUUUUAUUUUUAACUAAAAAUAGAAGUAUACAUAUACAAAUAUAUACUGCUUAAGCAAUUAAUUUUUUAAAAUUAUUCUUUCAGAACACUUCAGACAAGCUGAGACAUGCUUCGAGGGAAAUUUAAAUAUAAUGAUUUUAAAAGCUACUUUGUAAUUUUAUUUUCGAGCAUGUUGCAUAAUAUAUGCUUUCCUUGAAUUGAUUUUCCAAAUUUUAUUUUUGUUAGCAAGAAAGGGUUAUCUACGUUUUGGAAGUUAUCUUUAAUUUCCCCUGUAAAGAAUAAGUGAUCUUGAAAAUUAUAAGCUAAUUAUGUUCAUUUGAAUAAGAGAUUUGAAUAAUCUUGUAAAAGAUGAUGUAUAUCGUUUAAGUGGAUGGUUGAUUUAGAAAUUAUCAUAAAGGGAAAUGGAAAAAAAUACUAUUAUUUUGGAACAAGACCAUAUUGUUCAUUGGUGUCUCUAGAAAGUUCCAUUAGAUGCUAUCAAACAAUUAAUUUGGUGUCUCAUUUGCAUAAUUUUGAGUUAUUGGAUUUUGGGUUUUGCAGACUCUAAUCUCCGGAGGUAGCGACACAACUGUUGUCUCUCUAACAUGGGCACUCUCUCUUGUACUAAACAACCGUGACACCUUAAAAAAAGCUCAAGAAGAAUUAGACAUCCAAGUUGGUAAGGAAAGAUUAGUGAAUGAACAAGAUAUAAGUAAGUUGGUCUAUCUCCAAGCCAUUGUUAAAGAGACAUUACGGUUAUAUCCACCAGGACCACUUGGAGGACUACGCCAAUUUACCGAGGAUUGCACCUUGGGUGGAUACCAUGUCUCUAAAGGCACCCGUUUAAUAAUGAACCUUUCGAAGAUCCAAAAGGAUCCAAGAAUUUGGUCAGAUCCGACAGAAUUCCAACCAGAGAGGUUUCUCACCACCCAUAAAGAUGUUGAUCCUCGGGGAAAACAUUUUGAGUUUAUACCAUUUGGAGCUGGUCGAAGAGCAUGUCCAGGAAUAACUUUUGGUCUUCAAGUAUUACAUUUAACAUUGGCUAGUUUCUUACAUGCGUUUGAAUUUUCAACUCCAUCAAAUGAACAGGUCAAUAUGCGCGAGAGCCUUGGACUUACAAAUAUGAAAUCUACCCCACUUGAAGUUCUCAUUUCUCCACGCUUAUCUUCUUGUAGUCUUUACAAUUAAAACAUUGAAACGAAGCGGUCAAGUCGGUCUUGCUAGUCUUGGUUUAAAGACAUAUAGAGUUAAGUUCAAUCAAUCUAUGACAAGAUUUGGGAUUGUAUUAAAAGUAGGUUGGACUAAGAAUGAUGUAUAAUAAACUAAAGUACUAUUUAUGUCAAUAAAGUAUAACUUUAUAUAUUAUUUGGUUACCCUUAUGGAAUGCAACAUCAUAAUUAUUUAUUUGUUUUGUCUAAUUCAUUCUACAUUUUUUUCCCCUCAUUUUCACCACAACAAAUAAUAUAUAGCAUUUUAUUUUUUGAAAUCAAAGUUAGUUCCGAGUUAUAUAAGAAUUUUACUAUUACUUUAUAAUAAACUUUAAUCUCAAUAAUUUUAACAUGUAAAUAUGAUCUUCAUCCUUAAUCAAAUAUAGGGAUAAUUUCAUUCAUCUUUUAGAAGAUUAGAGUUAAAUUUACCUAUCCAUCAUUAACUUGAAAUUUCACUAAAUAUAUUUUUUUUUCUUUUUCCUUUACUAUUUUUACUCAUCAUAUCUUUUAAUUUAAAAUAAAAAAUAUGUUUAAUAAAAUUUGGGAAUAAUGGUUAUUAGACAUAUUUACGUGAAAUUUUCGAUGAGGUGAAUGAAACUAAAGUUUUCUUUAAAUGUAAAAUCAUAAAAAUUUAGUAUCUGCCAGCAUGAUCCGGUCUAAAUAUUAUAUAUAAUUUGUGUCAUUUCAAAAAAUCAUAGAAGAUCCUUUUGGCAAAGUGGCUCCUUUGAGUUGGUAUUCUCUAAUUGUCACUACAUAUUAUAUAAUUUCAAAGAUCAUGGAGGAUCAUGUCGGCAAUCAUGAUCAGAAGAAGUUGCAGCUUCCUCUAUAAAAUACUAUAUAUACAUAAAAUUAAUCAAUGCAAUAUUUAGCAUAUGCAAGCAAAAUUGGACGGAUCAUGAAAGUAAACCUACGGGCCACCCCUUUACGACUUGUUCGAAAAAGCACUAACCCAGGGUGGUGCCACUUUCCAGCUGUCUUUUUCAAUAGCUAAAUGUUACCACGGUCGGAAUGCUUGGCAUACUCUCUCUCCCCACUAUCUAUUAUUAUGGAGAUCCAGAGCUGGUAAGAGAAGAAUAGAACCCGAAGCUGCUGGUGCAUGGUCAAUAAUCGGUCACCUCCUUUGGGUCACAACUUACUGAAAAACCGUCUGUCUAGUAGGUAAGAUUCAGAGGUGAAUACAUGUAUUUAAAAAGAUUAUAACAAAAAAAUUGAAUUGUUUUAACCUAAUGAAGAUAUAAAAGAUAAAUAAAAUAAUCAAAAUCAAACAAAUAAGUAAAGGACACAAAUUUUUAUAUGGAAAAUUUUCACAUUUACUAUAAAGAUAAAAAAACUACAAGAUAUAACAUCUUUAAUCUACUAUCUAUUGUUUGAAAUCAAAGUACGCAAAUUUACUUGCUCACGAUGCAACACCUUUCUCUUAGUCUCGUUGAAGAGAUGCAAGUCAAUACUAUGAAUUUUUUCUCAAGAAAUUGGAAAUGAUAGGGUAAGUUGUUGAUUCUCUUGUAGUGUCAAUAUAAAACAUAUUUAGGUAUGAUAUGUAAAAAAUAUUUACAUAAUCACAUAGAUUAAUGAUACAUGAUUAAAAGAUACUAACAAUAGGAAAUCACUAUAAAGAACAUACCUGUUUGAGUCAUGAUAAAAAAAACGUGAUUGAUUGUUGUAGUCAAGUCUUCCUCUCUAUGAUCUUGAUAAUAGAUAUGGUGGCUAUAUGGGAAAACAGAUAAACCCUAUUUAUCUACAUUAGAGAGGGGACCUAGCAUAACUCAAAUUGGAUUCUCAUUGGGCCCUCCCAUAAUGGGCUUCAAUGAGACCCAUAGCCUACACUUGCCACUCAACUGAGCUUCUACUCAAAAGAUGCAAAACCCAAUCUAAAAUGUGAUCACUAAUUAAUUGGGCUCAUUAUAGAAUAGACUAUCUAUUAACCCGUUUUUGCAAAUACAAAUUAUUCAAUUAAUGUUAGCCCAUAUAAAAAUUUUCCAACAUGAUAUAUAUAAGAGAAGAUCUACUAGAAUUGGUAUCAAUUAAAAAAUUAUAUUUUACUAAAAAUAAUUUAGAAACUUAAACUUUUAAAAAGAUUUGGAAUAGUUUUCUUUUUAAAAUUAUUAAUUUUAUAUUAUUUCCCAAUUUAUUUUUAUUAUUUGGAAAUGAAUUUUUAAAUUGAGAAUUUAAAAAAUCUUUUUAUUAUUUGGAAAGAUCUUUUAAAUUCUCAAUUUAAAAAUUCAUUUCCAAAUUAUUUUUAUUAUUUGAAUUUUUUUUUAAAUUCUUAAUUUAAAGUUCUUUUNNNNNNNNNNNNNNNNNNNNNNNNNNNNNNNNNNNNNNNNNNNNNNNNNNNNNNNNNNNNNNNNNNNNNNNNNNNNNNNNNNNNNNNNNNNNNNNNNNNNGUAAGUCAUCGUCUAAAAAGAUUUUUAAGUCAAAAUGAAAUUAAACAAAAUUGUUAACUAACAAAUUACAAGACUUACUAUCCCAACAUCCCCCAUAUAUACUUGGGAACCAUGGCAGACAUAUACAGACCGAUCUUCACGAUCCUGGUCGGGAAUGCAUCGAGCAUUGGUGGUGAGCAAUAAGGAGGUGGCCAAAGAAUGCCUCGCCAUCAAUGACUCAGCAGUGUCCGGCCAUCCCAAAUUGGUAGCCCCAAAACAUCUGGGUUACAACUAUGCCAUGUUGGCUUUAUAUAUAUAUAUAUAUAUAUAUAUAUAUCAAUAGAAAUACUUAAACAAAAUAAAUAUUUACAUGUGAGGAAAAAAUAUUUACUUAAAUUUCAGAGAAUUAAUAAUAAGGUUAUAUUUGGUUUCUAAAAAGUAUUAAAGAAAAAAAAUAUAAAAGAAAAUGAUUUUUUUAUGUUUGGUUUUAUUAUAAUUUUUUUAAUGAAAAUUAAAUAUAAUUAGAAAUUUAUACAUUUUAAAAUUAUUUAAUCUUUAUAUAAUUGAGGAAAUUAAGUGAAAUGAAUUUGAGGAAACAUAUAAAAAUAAUUUAUUAAUUUUGAAUAUAUAUAUAUAUAUAUAUAUAUUAUUUUUUUUCUUUUUUUUUGUUCCACUUUUCAUCUCUAUUUUCUUUUCCUCAAAAUUUUCAAGAAUCAAGCCAAAGUAUUUCUAUUUAAUUGUAAUAAAUACAUGAUAGUUUUUUUUUUUUUCACGAAUUGUAGAUACCAUUUAUGUGCACUUGUCAUAAAUUACUUUUACGAUAAUUUUAAUUAUCUAAAUUAUUAUAUCGUAAUGUAAUAAAAUAGUUCCUUUAUUUUUUAUAAAAAAUUUUUAUAUUUUAAUUUUAUAAUAAACAUACUCUUUCCUGCAUUUCUUGAAAUUUUUUUAUAUAUAAAUUAUGAAAACGUAAAUUAUGGUUGCUUUUUUUUUUUUUUUUUUGGUUUUAGAAAAAAUAAUGAAAAUGCAUUUCAUAGCUGUGGAUUUUGAUAAAUUGGAAAAAAAAAAAAAAAAAAAGAGAAAGGUGGAAAGAAUUUAAAAUGUGUAUUUUUAAAAUUUAUUAAGAAAUUUAACCUUCUUUUUUCGUGGAUAUGGGCGAUUAGGCCAAACCAUAUAAAUAUUUUGUCUUCUUUUUCAUUUAUUUUAUUUUUGUUGUUGCAUUUGAUAUUGCAAUUUCCCUCCUCCCCCCAACAAGUGGAAUUAAACUUGUGGUGGGAAGAUCAUGGGAAAAUUGAAAAGGAUGUCAAGCAUAAAAUAUGAUAUUAAAUCAUUUGAUGGAAAUAAUAAUAAUAAUAAUUUUAGCAUAUGGCAGAUGUUUUGGUAUAACAAAGACUUCUUAAAGUGUUAAAAAGGUAAGAAAGCAAAGAACAUGAUAGAAGAUGAUUUAUGGGAGAAGUUAUACACAAUUUAUAUGUCAACAUCCCAAGAAGAUGGAUGAAGGAUUAGAUGUUGAGGUCAUAUAAAUAAAUUUAUUAAGUAUAUACCCAGGUAUUAAGUGUAGAUAUUAAGAUGGAUAGAAAGAUCAAAUCAUUCUUUCAUUGGCUUUCUACCAAAAUCGUACGAGAUAGUAGUAACUGCACUUUUAGUUGGAAAGACAACUAUUACACACCCUAAAUACUAAAAUUAUGAUUUAAUUAUAAUAUCAAAUGAUUAAUUUAUAAUUUUAAAAUUUUAUAUAUAAAUUUAUGAAUAAAAUACAAUGUUUGAAAUAAAAAACUAAUUAUUUAAUUAUUUUCAAAUUCAUGAAUUUUAAUUCUAAUGUACAUAAUAACCGUAAUUUUUUUUAUAAAGUUGUUACUAAAUAUAUAUUUCCAAAUAGUAACAUAAUAACAUUUUAUUUUACAAUUUCUAAAUUUAAAAUUUUAUUUCUUUUAAAAGUUGAAAUAAUAUGGUCUAAUGAAUUGAGAGUUUUUAUAUAUGUCUUGUAUGUUGUUUAAGUUAUGUAAUUUCACCAUGUAAAAUAGACUAUUUUUAAAAGUUUUAAAAUUUAAGAUAAGAAAUAAUAGAUUUUGUUACUUUUCAUGUUGGUGAUACUCAAUUUUUUAGAUUUUUUAUUUUUGAUAAUUUUAUUUAGGUGAACUUUUUAAAAAAAAAAAAAAAGAAAAAAAAAAGAAAUUUAACUAAAGUUGUCAAUUUAUAAUUAAAAUUGGAAAAUCAAAUUUUGAUUUACCUAUAAUUAAAUUCUAAAAUAUUUUUAUUAGAUUCAAGGAGGGUAUUCCAUUAUUUAUAUUACAAACUUAAAGUUAAGCAGACAUUUACUUCAAUGUGCUAUACAAUAAAUAAAAUGAUGCAAAAUGGUGCACCACACCCAACUUGCGCACUUUAUGCACACCAUUCAAAUCGUGCAUCUCCAACAUACGACCUAAAUUGUGCACCUCUAAUGCAUCACUUGAAUUGUGUACUACUUAAAUUAUGCAUGUCUCCGGUUUAAAACACUUUGUGCAUCCCCAAUUAUGCACCUCCUUCUCUUUUAACACCUACUUAGAUUUGCAUAUUAUCAGGGCUAGCUUCUUUUCCAUAGACAGUUAUUCUUUUGUUUAUAUGUUUUAAUUGAUGCAUAUUCACUUUCUUCUUCUCUUAAUUAAAUUGCAAUAAUUAAACAUACAAUUUAAAUAAAUUUUAAAUUUUAUUUUUAACUAAAAACAAAAGUAUAUGUAUACAAAUAUAUACUGCUUAAACAAUUAAUUUUAAAAAAUUAUUCUUUGAAAACACCUCAGACAAACUAAGACAUGGUUCCAGAGAAAACUAAAUAUGAUGCUUUUAAUAGUUGCUUUGUAAUUUUAUUUUCAAGCAUGUUGCAUGAUAUAUACUUUCCUUGAAUUGAUCUUCCAAAUUUUAUUUUUGUCAACAAUAUACCUAUGUAAGAGAUGGUUAGUUUAGAAUUUUUCUCUUAAACCAUAGGGAAAAAUGGAAAAAGAAUACCAUUAUUUUCGUACAAGGUCAUAUAGUUUAACAAUGUUUGAAGAGGGUUUCAUUAUAUACUAUCAAACAAUUAAUUUGGUGUGGUCACUUACGUAUUUUUAAGUUGUUGUCUUCUUCAUUUUGUAGGCUCUAAUUGCAGGAGGUAGCGACACAAUAGUUGUCACUCUAACUUGGGUGCUCUCUCUCUUCUAUUAAACAACCAUGACACCUUAAAAAAAGCACAAGAAGAAUUGGAUACACAAGUUGGCAAGGAAUGAUUAGUGAAUGAACAAGAUAUCAGUAAAUUGUUCUAUCUCCAAGCCAUUGUUAAAGAGAUAUUAUAGUUAUAUCCACCACGACCACUUGCAGGGCCACGCCAAUUCACUGAGGACUGCACCUUGGAUGGUUACCAUGUCUCUAAAGGCACCCGAUUAAUAUUGAACAUUUCCAAAAUCCAAAAGGAUCCAAGAAUUUGGUCAAAUCCAAUAGAAUUCCAAUAAGAGAGGUUUCUCACCACCCAUACGGACCUUGAUCCUCGGGGAAAAUAUUUUGAAUUUAUACCCCCAUUUGGCGCCAAUAGAAAAGCAUGUCCUAGAAUGACUUUUGGUCUUCAAAUGCUACAUUUAACGUUGGCCAAUUUUUUACAAGUGUUUGACUUUUCAACUGCGUCAAAUGCACAUAUUGAUAUGCAUGAGAGUCUUGGACUUACAAACAUGAAAUCUACCCCACUUGAAGUACUCAUUUCCCUACACUUGUCUUCUUGUAAUCUUUACAACUAAAACAUUGAAACAAAAAGGUCAAAGUCGGCAUAGCUAGCUAGUCUUAGUUUGAAGACGUUAGCUUCAGUCAAUCUACAAUAAGAUUUAGAAGUGUAUUAAAAGUAGGUUGGACUUGAUACUUUUAAGGAAUGCGAUGCUAAUUCUAUUUGAAUGGGUAAUGAUUCAGACUCUAAAAUCAUUAGGAUUUAAAUCAUAAAGGUGAGGAUAUUUUAUGGUAUUAUAAGGAUGUUGAGUAAUGUUAAGCAUGUUCCCAAGUCGAGGAGGAGUUUAAAUUUCUUUAAGGGCUUUGGACACUUUGGGUUGUGAUUUUUUUGUGAAGCAUAGUAUUAUGGGUAUCAAUAAAGUGCUUUGACAACUAUGAAAAGGAAAAAAGUGAAAAAUUUAUACACCUUAAUCAAUAAGACAACUUAUAGGUGGAGUUCUAAAGGAGUCAUGUUAACAGAAAGAAGGAAUGACACGUAUUUAUUCUUCAUAAUUAUGUAUAAUUAAGAGAUUUGAGUCAAUGCAUGUGGAGAUUAUUGGUAUUUGAAUCUAAUUAUUUAUUUUUUAUUUUUGAAAAAGUCAAUAUUUAUAAAGUCUAUGUUUUACUAAAUUACCCUUUUGAAUUUGACUAAGAUCAGGAAACUAUUGAUUUAGGGUUAAUUCACAUGAUUUUACAAAUAUGUGGUUUUAAAUAAGAUUUAUACUAAAAAGGAAAAAAAAAAUAAGAAAAGAGGAAAACUUAAAUAGGUAAAUAGUCUAUUGAGUUUUGGAUGGAGAAAUGUUGAGAGAAUUUGAAGAUUUUCUUUGUGAAGCAUAUUAAUAAAUUUUAUCUUCCUUUCCCAGGUCUUUUCUAUUUAUUUUAUUUUUCCUGCUCAAUUUGAGUGUUUCAAUUUUUCCAGAACAUGGACAGUACAAAUGGCCAGAUGUUUCAUAUACGGUGCAUGUCAUAAAGUCGCCGCCUUCAGCUUGGCAAGAAAUCAAGCGAAACUGGACUUGAACUUGUCAUUCUUAAGGAAAUAAGCGCCAGCUAGGGUUCAAAUUUUAUGAUGUGAGCAUGCAACACUUAUCCCAAUCCACUGUUCUACUAAUAGGAUGUAGAAGACAACAAGCAAUUGUAGGAGCUUAUCUUUUUUUAUUUUUAUCAAGGUAGUUUCUGAAAGGAUGUGGAUCAACAUCGAUCUGUAGUGAUCCCUAGAAGGCUCCACUGUUCUAAUAAUAGGAUGUAGAAGACAGCAAGCAAUUGUAAGAGCUUAUCUUUUUUUCUUUUUUUUUUAUCAAGGCAGUUUCUGAAAGGAUGUGGAUCAACAUCGAUCUGUAGUGAUCCCUAGAAGGCUCCACUGUUCUAAUAAUAGGAUGUAGAAGACAGCAAGCAAUUGUAGGAGCUUAUCUUUUUUUUUUUUUUUUUUAUCAAGGCAGUUUCUGAAAAGAUGUGGAUCAACAUCGAUCUGUAGUGAUCCCUAGAAAGGCUGUUUUCUAAAUAUAGUAUUAUAAUAAAAAUAACGUUUGCCGAAAUUAAUAACGUUUGGAUAUGUUACAUGAGAGAAACAAACACGAGUACUCCUUGUAGUACAUGAGAAACCAUAUAUAUAUAUAUAUAUGCUUGAACGGGGGAGCUACCCACAGUUUAACCACAGUGAUCCAAUAACGACAUUCUGAGCUACAAUGGAUUUCCUUCUCCAAUGCCUAAACCCUGUCAUGGUUGGAGCGUUUGCAAUACUCGUCCUCUCAUACCACCUGUUAUUAUGGAGGUCUGGAGCUGGUAAGAGCAGAAUGGCACCUGAAGCUUCUGGUGCAUGGCCCAUAAUAGGUCACCUGCACCUGUUAGGUGGAUCUAAGAAUUUGCCUCACUUACUUUUUGGAACCAUGGCCGACAAGUAUGGACCAGUAUUCAGCAUCCGGCUGGGAUUAAAAAGAGCUGUGGUUGUGAGUAGUUGGGAAAUGGCCAAAGAAUGCUUCACCACCCAUGACCUGGCUCUGGCCUCCCGUCCUGAGCUUGUGGCCGCCAAAUAUUUGGGAUAUAACUAUGCCAUGUUUGCUUUCUCUCCUCACGGUGCAUACUG